CAGCGUGUGUGGUCUCGAGGCGGUACAGCUGAUUUGAUUGCAGGUGAUUCUUCCCUCUCACCUGGCCUCCUCAUAUUAUUUCUGUAGGUCGCAUGUGUGUUUCGAAUCCAUAAAUACUGCAGUUUCUGUAGGUCGUAUGUAUGUUCAUACGAGCUGCCGUUCUUCCAUAUGUUCUGCAGAUGUAGUAUGUGUUUUAGGUCCAUGUAUAGUACUGUAGGAUCAUAUGUGCUGCAGAUGUAGCCUCUGUUUUUAGGUCCAUGUGUAGUACUUUUAGUCCAUAUGAACGAUGGCCAUACGAGUAGCCACAAGGUCAUCCACGAGGUUAUCAAAUGCUGCCUCGAGCGCCUUGAGAUAUUCAACCAGCAUUUCAAUAGCCUCAUCCCUUUCUCCUCUAGGGCAAGCGAAUGCAUAGUGACAUGUGUAUGGCAUGUGGCAGGGGAGGUAGCGGUAGCGACGAGUCUUCAUUGAAGAAAGAACAUCCCGAAGACGAGCUAUCGCCUCACGGGCAGCCAUGUGCAUAGCAUGCCUCUCCGUAGGCAUGGCUCUUCCCACAAACCGGAAGCGGCGUAACUUAACACGCCCUCCCUUGAAUUGCACCGCGGCCUGGUGCAUGGACAGACUGUCGUUGAUCUUGUGCUGGUAGAGUGUGAACUCCGGACGAGUUGAUGGCCCGAUCGCGAUUUUGACGAUGGAGGUGAGAAGCUUGACGAACCCCUCAGGCACGUUGGCGAACACCUGUGACUCACAGUCAUUGCCAGCCAUCUACAAAAGUAGGCAAAAAUUCUGAAUAGUCAGAUCAUAAAUUUACACUGACUGUCAGAAAAUGACUACAUUUGCAAAAUAUUAAAAUAGCACUUAUUACGCUAAUAACCGAUUAGCGAUCGCACCUAGUGGCUUCCUACAGUCAGCCUGGCUCUGGUACCAAGUUUGUCACGAUAGUUUUUUCAAUAAAAAGCUUAUUGAGAAACCGACUUUUAUAUAGACCAGUAUAGGAAAAUCCUCCUUACUGGUAAACAAAUCCUUGAUACUGAAAUCCAGUAGUACUAAAUAUUAUACAGGGUUGAGCUGAGGUAGCUCAACAAUUUAUUACAAGCACGCAAAUAUUAUACAUAAGGGCGGAUAUGACACAAGGGUGUGCUGGCAUACUACUGACUCGUAAUAAAAGUGGUGGUGGAUAUGUCACAGUGAAGCGGAUGACAUGACUCCUAAUCCUGCAACUCAUCGAGCGUCGAGGUGAGGCUCGAUGAUUUUAUUUGGGUAGCGGAAGCGUAUGUGAUACAAGUGACCAAAUCCAGGAUCACAUGGGACUGACUAGGACUCCUCUAGGCGUCGGACUCGCUAUCGUACUCUUCAUCCAUGAGAUCGCCUUCGUCAACAUCUGGCCAAAUCAACAAGCCAGGUGAGUACUUUGAAUGUACUCGCAAGACAAUGCGGACAUAAGAUAUAACAAAUGUAACAUGAUGCACAGGAGCGGUUAGCAAUGCACACUCAAAUAUAAAAUUUGCACGACAUGUUAAAUAAAUAGGAAGCCAGGCGGUAGUUCUCCCGAAAUCCCAACAAAAUAACUAAGAACCAAUCGGGUGUCUGAAGCGACGCCUCGAAAGGUAAAAAUAAAUUAACAUGCCGCAGUCGGGCGUCUGAGCGACACCACAUAAAGGGCUUAUAUUGAAAUGUAAAUGACAGUGCGUGCCACAGUUGGACGUCUACGUGACAUCUCGGAAAGGGCUUAUAAUGAAAAUAAAUAACAGUGAUACCACAGUCAGACGUCUACGCGACAUCUCGGAAAGGGCUUAUAAUGAAAAUAAAUAACAGUGAUGCCACAGUCAGACCUCUACACGACAUCUCGGAAAGGGCUUAUAAUGAAAAUAAAUAACAGUGAUGCCACAGUCAGACGUCUGAGCGACAUCACAGAAAGGGCUUAUAUUUCAUCAUUCAUAUUCAAUAGAUUCAUGAAGAUAAUUCAUUCAAAGGAAAUACUCAGUACAUAAUAAUAAAAGGGUUAGUCCAUCCACAGGAGAAUUAUUUAGCCGGACUUAACACUCAUGUUUGUUCACCAGAGAUUUGUCACUUGAGGCUGACACUGAGACUGACAAAGAUAAGUUGAACACAGUCCUUGACCAUAGACAAGGUUACUCGAAUGAUUUUGACUCUGCAAAGUUUGCACUAUUUAACCACAGCCAACAGAUUUCAGUAGUCAUGAAGGACUAGUUCCGUUUAUGGUAUUUCGGUAGAAACACAUCUAACCAUUACACACCCAUUCCACCUCAUGAUGCCAGGAAUCACCCUAGGCAACAUUCAAGAAAAACUUUGAGACAGGGAGGCCACAACCUCGAAUAGCAUGGGAUCAAAUUUAUAUUCGCGCGCUCUAAGGGGUGCCCCCCUCUCGGUCCCAACCGGAAACACCCAUGCCCCCUGACCGGAUGACUGGCUUUUAAUCCAGGGCCAUGGAACCCUCAUCACGGCCUCUCUAUUUGGUGUGUACGAGCCAAGAGGUUUGCAACUUACUAAACCAUAUUCUUUGCAGAAAACAUGUGGUAGCACAAAAAGAAAUGGAUGGUAACAUGACUUAUUCCACGUUGACACUGGAGUUAAAUGGUUUGGCAUAAGACUGGCAUGCUUCAACACUGCCAUCUUACCACCUCUCAUGUCACCACCUGAUCACGUAAACUCACAUCAAAUAACAUAUGGAGUUUUGAGGCUAACUUGCAUUAGCUUUGCAUGCAAUAUAUGUGACACUCCAAAAUUUUUAUUUGGUUUUUAUCAAAAACUUUGUGGUUUUGAGGAGAGACUUUUUUUUAUUUUUCUUUUUCAGAAAAACCUUCCUCUUAAAAACCUCCUUUUGCCUUGGCAGGGAUUUUAUUUCUUUCAAACUUUGGUGGUUGAUCUUUUGCAAACUUCUUCUCUGUUAGUUCCCUCUAAAAAUUUAAAUUUUUUUUGGGAGCUUUUAAUUUGUUUUAUUUAUUUUUUAAGUGAAGCUCUAUGAAAAUUUGGGUUUUUCUUAUCUUUGAAGCCACCCUUGGCUUUGUAUUUUUGCCCAUGAGAUAAAACCCCUCCAAAACCUCCCCUCCCCCUUGUGAUCAACCUAAAUUCUCUGUCCCAACUAAUCCAAACUGGUUUUGUAUUCUAUUCUAAUUAUUUUCCCCCCCAAUUCAAUUCUGAAAAUUAUUUGGAGCCUGAGGGAUUUUCAAAGCAAGUACACUUUUUCAUUUGAGUUUUGAACUCAAACCAAUUCUCCUGGAUUGUCCUUUGAACCCACAACCCAGAACCAUCUUGAUCCACUCCUCCUCUUUUCAAAAUUUUCAAAAUACAGUCUCUGCAAGUUUGGACCAGAUUUGCCAAAUUUGGUGAAAUUCAUAUCUACACUCCUCCAAAAAUUCCACCAAAAUUCAGACAGCCUAUUUGAGCAAUGAGAAGCCACUCCACCAAAAAUCAGCUCAAGGAAAAAUCCCUACAUGCCUGGAUCAUUCUGUCGAACACCUUGCAUGCACUGUUUUCCUUGCACUUUCAGAAAUUCAGUUUUCAGUUUCGACAGUUUCAGUCACGCGGCCACAGUGCACUUGGCACGUUUCUCGCGGCCUCGCUUGCUUGUCCGAAGCUUCACACGCGCACUUGGCGCGACCCUGGCAUCGGUGGCGCCCUGGCCCGCCUGCGCCGGCGUGUCUUGCGGCGGCCGGCUCCCCGUAACGGCCGACAGGGAGGAGAACGGCGGCGCAACGCCGUUCGGCACCGCCCAAAUCCUCUGGUGGCUCCGCGUGUGUCACGACCGGUUUUCCGGGUAAUAAAUUUCCAGAAAAGACCGUCGUGCUCAUCAGCCCCAGGAUUACUGUUAGCUGAUGAGGCUCCAACUUGAUACAGAAAUUCCAAGCAAAAUACAAAAUAUGUAGUACAAGACCAUUCUGGCCAGUGAGUACAACAAAUGGUUUCUAGUGGUUAAUGGCGGAAGCGGGUUGUGAAACAUCAGGGUCUAUGGGACUCCAUUUCCCACGGGAACAGCUGACCAGGUUAAUUCCUAUCUUCGCGAGGCUGCUAUCUCCAUUGAGUGCGUUCCGGGGCUGGCAUCGCGUCGCUCCUCUCCGUGCAAGAAAAUCUGGCCAAGACAAUAGCCAGGGACAAGCCAGUGAGUACUUUGAAUGUACUCGCAAACAUUAUGAACACAGGUAUAAUAUAACCAUGAUGUGCUAAAAAUAUUAUAAGCUCAUGACGUCAGUCACAAUGAAACUCAGAUGCGUGCAAGCAAGUUAUUUAUAAAAAUGCAAUAACAUGGUAGUAUAAAAAUUUAUGAAACAAAUAGCAAGCAAUGCCACAGUCGGGCGUCUUAGCGACUCCACAUAAAGGGCUUUAAAAGAAAUGCCACAGUCGGGCGUCUGAGCGACACCACAUAAAGGGCUUUAAAAGAAAUGUCACAGUCGGGCGUCUGAGCGACACCACAUAAAGGGCUUUAAAAGAAAUGCCACAGUCGGGCGUCUGAGCGACACCACAUAAAGGGCUUUAAAAGAAAUGCCACAGUCGGGCGUCUUAGCGACACCACAUAAAGGGCUUUAAAAGGAAUAAUCAUAAUGAAUAUCCCAGAGGUAGAACCAUCCCAGAGAUACUCAGUAAUAACAAUAAUAUCACGGGUUAGUCAACAAUAAUAAUAAUCAUAGAUAUCACAAGUCACGAGUAGUAAUUCCAUUUCUGGUUAACCGUUUCACCUCCGAAGACCGACACUAAGACCGAUACCUGACCCAUCCCAGACUGUAAUCCUUAACCAUGGACACGGCUAUUCGAAUAGGUUUAAAUAUCUCUGCAGAGAGUGUACUCUUUACCCACGAGUAACGGAUUCCUUUAGUCCAUCGGACUAAUUCCGUCUACGGUCUUUUAAUUGAAACACACCUGACUUGCACACACCAGCUUUCACUCGUGUCUGGAAUCACCCAUGACACCUGUUAAGCAAAGCUCUAAGUGGGGAGGCUACAACCUCGCGUAGCAUGAGAUCAAAUUUCUAUCGCGCGCUCUAAGGGGUGCCCCCCUCUCGGUCCCAACCGGAUACACCCAUGCCCCCGGACCAGGUGGCAUGCCUACCGGCUACAACCGGUAUCUUCCACCAUGGCCUCUCUGUACGGUGUGUGCCAAGACAAGGGUUAACAACUUACUGAACCAUACCCCACCUACGGUAGGGACCAGUGGCAGUACGAAAACAAGUAUGGGGGUUACCGGAACAAGACUCGAUCUAUGGCCGACUCAGGAGGCUUAUGAGUUCCCUGCAUGACAUGUAUAACAAAUAUAUUUCAACCGAAGAAAUCACCACUCAAUGUACCUUACCAUGCCAUACCGGACAUAACCGUCCCGACGGGGACCGGCGACAAGCUCACGCCUACCCAAGGCCAAGGCUUUCCCGGAUUCCUUUCCGGCAUGCAUGCAAGGCACAUGAGGAGGAUUACCAUCACAAUAAUAUUCAUUUCCAACAGCAAGUAAAUCACUGAUAUGCUCCCAUGCAAAUGAUCAUGUCACAUGAAAUAACAAGUCCUCCGAAGCAAGGUGGUGUUAUAAACGUGUCAAAUAACACACCAAAAACAUUAUGCCAGGGUUCAGAAUGCUUGCCUUCAUGGUGUGGAGAGGUGGGGGUGCUCUCCAAAAUUUUUGAAAGCUUCUUUCUCUCCCAAAAAUCCUAUUUUCAAUAAUAUGCAAAUAACACCUAUUUCAAAAACAGUACAAAAAAGUUGUUUGGAAAAUAUUCAAAUAAAUCUUAAAAUAAACUAGACAAUAUUUGAGAGAUGUAGGAAAAAGAAUUAAUUCAUUUGGAGUUAUAUUUAAAAAGUUAUAGCCAGUCAAAGUUCUGGUCAAAUCUGUUAUUUAAAUUAAAACAGAAAAGAAAACGUUUCGGAGGGGAAUACGCUUUCAGAGCGGGGAAAACGUACUAGGUGGAUUACGUCUUCACUUAAUCCCACGUGGACAGGCACGGGGUCGCUGACAGUGGGUCCAGGGGGCCCACUAGUCAGGUUUGACUAGUCUCUUUCCCUCUCCUUCCUCUGUCCCGAGCGGAGGCGGAGCUCCGGCGAUUGUUGCCGGCGACUGGCGGCUGCUCGCGGGGCCCUGAGGGCGGGGAUGGAUCCGCCACUCCAGUGCGGUCCUCCCGGUGGUCGCAGGGUAGCUGGAGGUGGAGGGAGCUGCCGGCGGCGAGCUCCGCGGCGGAGGAAAGCUUCGGUGGCGAAGUGACAUUGUGGCGGCGAUGGUUCACGAUCAAAAUCAAGUAGUGGGAAAGGUUCAUGGGAGGAUGAGGAAGUUCCUGGCAAAGAGAAGGGAGAGGGGGAGGUACUGGAGGUUCCGGAUUGGCCGGGGCGGUGGCGGCGGCCGGAGUUGCCGGAGAUGAGGAAGGAGGCCUCCCCGGGUCGAAUGCGAGGCAGGGGAGCGCCAUGGGGGUAGCAUAAGGUCGCCUGCGUGCUUGGGNNNNNNNNNNNNNNNNNNNNNNNNNNNNNNNNNNNNNNNNNNNNNNNNNNNNNNNNNNNNNNNNNNNNNNNNNNNNNNNNNNNNNNNNNNNNNNNNNNNNNNNNNNNNNNNNNNNNNNNNNNNNNNNNNNNNNNNNNNNNNNNNNNNNNNNNNNNNNNNNNNNNNNNNNNNNNNNNNNNNNNNNNNNNNNNNNNNNNNNNNNNNNNNNNNNNNNNNNNNNNNNNNNNCAUUUGUAGCGCGCCAAGGUCGGUUCCGCGGCGGUGGGGAUAAGCUCUCCGGCGAACCGUCUCUCUGUAGCUAGGGCGACGUGGCGGCGACGAACGCUAGCGGACACCCGUGUGGAUGAGCUCGGGCUAUGCCGGGGCCAGGUGGCGAGCCGGGGUGGCUUGGGCGGCGCUGAAUGGAGCAGGGGCUGUCGGCAGCGGCGGUGGCUAGCUCUUGGCCUGCCGGGCGUGGCGGGGGCUGCUUGGCGCGUUGCAGUGAGAAGGGUAGCGCGUGGCGAGGUGCUGCAGAGCGAGCCAAAACCGUGGGGGCCAGCGUGUCGGCUCGUGUGCGCGGCUGCAAUAUGCGCGCUCUGGGCGUGCCCAGAGCACGCCGACCAUCUGUUCGGCGAAAUGCCCUGGCCUGCUAGAUGGCUUGGUUGGAGCUGAGGAUUAGCAGUUCUAGGCUAUGGCUUGCAAGGGGAUCAGUAGACAAGCUGGUUUGGUCAGGAGAUCAGGUUCACAGUGCAAACCAAAAAUUCAUGCCAAAACAGAUCAUGCCCAUAUGGUGUUUGACAAAAUGCUAAGGGCACUUAGGCAUUUCUUGGAGUGGCCAAAAUCUCCAAAUCAGUGUCUCUGUGGAUGAAAGAGAGGGUGGUGAUGUUAGUUGGUGAAAUGCACAAACUUGUUAGUGCAAGUCUAGCAGAAUUUCAAUUCUGGACAGGAAAUAAAUGUCAUUAUUUCAUGAACCAAAAUUAAUCCAAUGGGUGCAUGCUCCUAGACUUAAGGGUUCGGCAAGGGGGACUACCAGUAGAAAAAGAAAUCAUGGAUAUAGGAGCAAUUAAAAUGGUGGUUGCUGUACAAAUCAUCAAGUUGGUCCAGAAUGGAAAUGAGGUUGAUUCACUCAAUAUUUUCAAAGAACAACCCUGGAUUUUUGCACAAAAUGGAAUAAUAUGCUCCUACUGACCUCCCCUAAUUUUGGUAGAAGUUUUAAAGAAAUAUAUAAAAGGGUUGUAGUGCAAAAUGCACUCUGGACCAGAGAAGAAAAACUGAGUGUAGGGCUCAAAAUAUUUCAUGAAUGAGAUAUAUUUUUGCAUAAAAGUGAUUUAAAAACAUCACAUGACAUCUCCAAAUUUUUGUGGAAAUUUUAAGUGAAUCUAUCAAAUGGUUGUAGUUCAAAUAUGGCCAUAUAACCUUGAAAAACUAUUUUCAAGAAGGUAAAGAUCAAGCAAUUAACUUAGUUAAUUAGUUAUACUGAUAAAAGGAAAUUUUUUCUUGAGAGGUUAAACAAGUCCAAAAACAUAUUUGAAAAGUUUUCUCUUUGGGAAAAACUCAUCAUAACAGGGAAGGAAAUGAUUUAAAAAUCAAAAUGGAGCUCAGAAAUCCAGAGUUUUAAUUCCUAGCAAAAUUUUAAUUUAAUAAAACAAGGCCAAAUUUUUGGGGUGUCACAAUACUAUCCCCCUUAAGAAAAAUCUCGUCCUCGAGAUUGUCUAAGAGCCGUUGUGAAUAACAAAAGUUCCAUAUGCAUUCGAGCGGUUGUGAGACUGCUGCCGUGGUGCUGUGUGAAAUUAAUUAAUCCGCGUCGUGAAGUGGCAGGUGUAGCAAUUCAGGAAAAGAAGUCUCACUCUAGGAUUCUGCGAGGGAAAAACAGUUAAUUUUUAGGAGCAUAAUCCACAACAAAAACUACACACAUUAGUAGAAGCCAAAUAAUUGACUCGUCGUACAAACUCAGGGUAUCACGCAUAAGUCACACACAUAAAUAAAUGUUGCAAGGAACAAAUACAAUAGCGACGUCAAAAAUGAAAAUGGUAACUGGGUGGGGUCCUGAUAAAAUGUCUCUGGUAAAGGGAUACACUCCUCUUCUAUCGGAGGAAGUGGAUUGACCAGUCGAUGUAUGCGUCUCUCCGGGUCGGGUCUCAGUGGUCUGCCGAUGGCAAUCUGAGGAUUUAAAUCUGCGAGGCUCUGGAGAUAAUCCAUCACUCGCUGGUUCAAAUGCUCUUGAGCAAUGAUGUACUGGAUAAGGUUGGCCAGAACUGGGUCUCUCUCAAUACGUCCACCGGGAAAAGAUGUUACUUCUCCGGGUGCUGCACGACUCGGAAAGUAAUAAUAUCCUCGUUCGCGGGCAUAGGGUACUGCGGAUCGAAGACGAGCAAUUGCUUCUUUCGCAGCAGCUUCUAUGGCCGGGUGUGGGGUUGGCAUAGAUUUCCCCACGAAGGAAACUUCUAUUGGAUCUUGGUUGGGGUCUACAGGAGGAAUGUGUACUGCUGCCCAAUAUUCCGAGGUGGAUGGGGUGAUCCUCGAUUUGAACAGCUCGUACUGAGGUGGCUGGGUAGAACCCAUAGUACUGCGGGUAAAAUCCCACAAUAUUUUGACAAAGCUACCUGGGGUUGCAUCUGGGGUUCUCAGAUGAAUGCUGGGGCUCGGCAUGACAGGAAAAAGCGUGAGUGUUGUGCACAAAGUGAGGGUUGUUGGGUAAGGUCACAAGGUGGUCUUUAUAUAGCAAUGGAGCCGGGUCGUUUUACCGUGGUGAAAGGUAAUAAAUUUGCCAGCUUAGCUCCAAAGGUCAGGUCAGUGUCGGAGAUACACAUAUCUCAUAAAGAGACGUGUUACUGUGGUUGUCGUCGGGUUGGUUUUGGUAGUCGUGCCUGGAAAAUAUGCAGCUAUGCGCUGACCAAAAAUGCAAGGCUACUAUUAAAGCAGAGGCACAAAGACAGGUUGCGUUAAAAUACGCGGUCGCAUGAUUACAAAGCGAGGAUACAUUGAAACUUGGUGCUACUCAUACGGCUUAGUCUACCUCGUUCAUGUCUAAACGAGCGUGCCUGGUGGAUGUCGAGGCUUCUCCACGUGUCUCACUGCCGGGAUUAGACGGAGAUGGCGGGGGAACUGCAGGGUUGGGGUAGUGAUGAUGACCAUCGCGGGGAUUGUUGGCCACAACUCCGUUGGAGUGCGCUCCCAAAAUGCGAUGAAGCACCUCUGGGGUUAUCGCAGCACCUUGGCCGAUGGCUGGGGCAGAUCUUGGGGUCUCGAUCGGUUGUCCAAACAGCACGACUGGGUUGUCGGCGUUGGGCUCGUUUUCUCCUCUCGCCGGGGCUCGACGAACGAGCUCUCCACGAGCUGCGAUUAGAUCAAUGGUGAUUUGGUCGAACAGUACCUCUAGUGCACUUACAUAGCGCACUAGGUGCAACAAUGCGGGGUCCGUCUCGUGAUCUCCGUUGGCAACUUGGGGUUGUCUACCAUACCUUUCACGUCUGGGGUAGUAGUGGAACGAGCGACAGUUAACUCUGGGCGACAAGUGCCUGAGAUGAACUAUAGCCUCUCGAGCGGCUAGCUGGAUGGCUUGUGGCUCAAAGGAAGUUGUCCUUCCAGUGAACCUGUAGGGGCGCUCGGGUGCUAGACCCCUACCGUAGAUGUGCACAGUGGCCCAGAAUUGACGGUCUUCACCGCUCAUGGGUCCUUGAUACACAACAUAUUCUGGUGGCUCCUCUAACGCGUAGGCACGACGGGUGAGGUUUGCGAGGAUGGUCACAAAACCUCCAAGGUUGGUUGCUAUGGUUUCGUUGUGCACUAUAGGUCCAGGCAUUGUGGCUCGGUUUGGGGUAGCGGCUGUGCUGUGCUGGGUUGAGGCUAGCGUGCCCUUUUUAUAAGAAAAAGGGGACGGAGUCUUCCUUCGCACGCUUGCGAGAAAGGACUAUUUAGGGGCCAGUCACUGGCGCAUGAGUGACAGGUUAGGUUGAUAGGUUGGGCACCGACUGCCAAAAAGGUGUUGGGUCACUGUGUGGCUAUCUUGCACGAGAAGCUUGGCUGGGGUUUGGCUAAGGUCUAGUGGGUUGGUUUGCCUAAGUUUAUUGACCUGGCUAAGAUAGGAUUAGCCAAUGGUCAGCCUGGCGCUGAUACCAAGUCUGUCACGACCGGUUUUCCGGGUAAUAAAUUUCCAGAAAAGACCGUCGUGCUCAUCAGCCCCAGGAUUACUGUUAGUUGAUGAGGCUCCAACUUGAUACAGAAAUUCCAAGCAAAAUACAAAAUAUGUAGUACAAGACCAUUCUGGCCAGUGAGUACAACAAAUGGUUUCUAGUGGUUAAUGGCGGAAGCGGGUUGUGAAACAUCAGUGUCUAUGGGACUCCAUUUCCCACGGGAACAGCUGACCAGGUUAAUUCCUAUCUUCGCGAGGCUGCUAUCUCCAUUGAGUGCGUUCCGGGGCUGGCAUCGCGUCGCUCCUCUCCGUGCAAGAAAAUCUGGCCAAGACAAUAGCCAGGGACAAGCCAGUGAGUACUUUGAAUGUACUCGCAAACAUUAUGAACACAGGUAUAAUAUAACCAUGAUGUGCUAAAAAUAUUAUAAGCUCAUGACGUCAGUCACAAUGAAACUCAGAUGCGUGCAAGCAAGUUAUUUAUAAAAAUGCAAUAACAUGGUAGUAUAAAAAUUUAUGAAACAAAUAGCAAGCAAUGCCACAGUCGGGCGUCUUAGCGACUCCACAUAAAGGGCUUUAAAAGAAAUGCCACAGUCGGGCGUCUGAGCGACACCACAUAAAGGGCUUUAAAAGAAAUGCCACAGUCGGGCGUCUGAGCGACACCACAUAAAGGGCUUUAAAAGAAAUGCCACAGUCGGGCGUCUGAGCGACACCACAUAAAGGGCUUUAAAAGAAAUAAUCAUAAUGAAUAUCCCGGAGGUAGAACCAUCCCAGAGAUACUCGGUAAUAACAAUAAUAUCACGGGUUAGUCAACAAUAAUAAUAAUCAUAGAUAUCACAAGUCACGAGUAGUAAUUCCAUUUCUGGUUAACUGUUUCACCUCCGAAGACCGACACUAAGACCGAUACCUGACCCAUCCCAGACUGUAAUCCUUAACCAUGGACACGGCUAUUCGAAUAGGUUUAAAUAUCUCUGCAGAGAGUGUACUCUUUACCCACGAGUAACGGAUUCCUUUAGUCCAUCGGACUAAUUCCGUCUACGGUCUUUUAAUUGAAACACACCUGACUUGCACACACCAGCUUUCACUCGUGUCUGGAAUCACCCGUGACACCUGUUAAGCAAAGCUCUAAGUGGGGAGGCUACAACCUCGCGUAGCAUGAGAUCAAAUUUCUAUCGCGCGCUCUAAGGGGUGCCCCCCUCUCGGUCCCAACCGGAUACACCCAUGCCCCCGGACCAGGUGGCAUGCCUACCGGCUACAACUGGUAUCUUCCACCAUGGCCUCUCUGUACGGUGUGUGCCAAGACAAGGGUUAACAACUUACUGAACCAUACCCCACCUACGGUAGGGACCAGUGGCAGUACGAAAACAAGUAUGGGGGUUACCGGAACAAGACUCGAUCUAUGGCCGACUCAGGAGGCUUAUGAGUUCCCUGCAUGACAUGUAUAACAAAUAUAUUUCAACCAAAGAAAUCACCACUCAAUGUACCUUACCAUGCCAUACCGGACAUAACCGUCCCGACGGGGACCGGCGACAAGCUCACGCCUACCCAAGGCCGAGGCUUUCCCGGAUUCCUUUCCGGCAUGCAUGCAAGGCACAUGAGGAGGAUUACCAUCACAAUAAUAUUCAUUUCCAACAGCAAGGAAAUCACUGAUAUGCUCCCAUGCAAAUGAUCAUGUCACAUGAAAUAACAAGUCCUCCGAAGCAAGGUGGUGUUAUAAACGUGUCAAAUAACACACCAAAAACAUUAUGCCAGGGUUCAGAAUGCUUGCCUUCAUGGUGUGGAGAGGUGGGGGUGCUCUCCAAAAAUUUUGAAAGCUUCUUUCUCUCCCAAAAAUCCUAUUUUCAAUAAUAUGCAAAUAACACCUAUUUCAAAAACAGUACAAAAAAGUUGUUUGGAAAAUAUUCAAAUAAAUCUUAAAAUAAACUAGACAAUAUUUGAGAGAUGUAGGAAAAAGAAUUAAUUCAUUUGGAGUUAUAUUUAAAAAGUUAUAGCCAGUCAAAGUUCUGGUCAAAUCUGUUAUUUAAAUUAAAACAGAAAAGAAAACGUUUCGGAGGGGAAUACGCUUUCGGAGCGGGGAAAACGUACUAGGCGGAUUAUGUCUUCACUUAAUCCCACGUGGACCGGCACGGGGUCGCUGACAGUGGGUCCAGGGGGCCCACUAGUCAGGUUUGACUAGUCUCUUUCCCUCUCCUUCCUCUGUCCCGAGCGGAGGCGGAGCUCCGGCGAUUGUUGCCGGCGACUGGCGGCUCCUCGCGGGGCCCUGAGGGCGGGGAUGGAUCCGCCACUCCAGUGCGGUCCUCCCGGUGGUCGCAGGGUAGCUGGAGGUGGAGGGAGCUGCCGGCGGCGAGCUCCGCGGCGGAGGAAAGCUUCGGUGGCGAAGUGACAUUGUGGCGGCGAUGGUUCCCGAUCAAAAUCAAGUAGUGGGAAAGGUUCAUGGGAGGAUGAGGAAGUUCCUGGCGAAGAGAACGUAGAGGGGGAGGUACUGGAGGUGCCGGAUUGGCCGGGGCGGUGGCGGCGGCCGGAGUUGCCGGAGAUGAGGAAGGAGGCCUCCCCGGGUCGAAUGCGAGGCAGGGGAGCGCCAUGGGGGUAGCAUAAGGUCGCCUGCGUGCUUGGGGAAGCUCGGGGGGGGGUCCAUUUGUAGCGCGCCAAGGUCGGUUCCGCGGCGGUGGGGAUAAGCUCUCCGGCGAACCGUCUCUCUGUAGCUAGGGCGACGUGGCGGCGACGAACGCUAGCGGACACCCGUGUGGAUGAGCUCGGGCUGUGCCGGGGCCAGGUGGCGAGCCGGGGUGGCUUGGGCGGCGCUGAAUGGAGCAGGGGCUGUCGGCGGCGGCGGCGGCUAGCUCUUGGCCUGCCGGGCGUGGCGGGGGAUGCUUGGCGCGUUGCGGUGGGAAGGGUAGCGCGUGGCGAGGUGCUGCAGAGCGAGCCAAAACCGUGGGGGCCAGCGUGUCGGCUCGUGUGCGCGGCUGCAAUAUGCGCGCUCUGGGCGUGCCCAGAGCACGCCGACCAUCUGUUCGGCGAAAUGCCCUGGCCUGCUAGAUGGCUUGGUUGGAGCUGAGGAUUAGCAGUUCUAGGCUAUGGCUUGCAAGGGGAUCAGUAGACAAGCUGGUUUGGUCAGGAGAUCAGGUUCACAGUGCAAACCAAAAAUUCAUGCCAAAACAGAUCAUGCCCAUAUGGUCUUUGACAAAAUGCUAAGGGCACUUAGGCAUUUCUUGGAGUGGCCAAAAUCUCCAAAUCAGUGUCUCUGUGGAUGAAAGAGAGGGUGGUGAUGUUAGUUGGUGAAAUGCACAAACUUGUUAGUGCAAGUCUAGCAGAAUUUCAAUUCUGGACAGGAAAUAAAUGGCAUUAUUUCAUGAACCAAAAUUAAUCCAAUGGGUGCAUGCUCCUGGACUUAAGGGUUUGGCAAGGGGGACUACCAGUAGAAAAAGAAAUCAUGGAUAUAGGAGCAAUUAAAAUGGUGGUUGCUGUACAAAUCAUCAAGUUGGUCCAGAAUGGAAAUGAGGUUGAUUCACUCAAUAUUUUCAAAGAACAACCCUGGAUUUUUGCACAAAAUGGAAUAAUAUGCUCCUACUGACCUCCCCUAAUUUUGGUAGAAGUUUUAAAGAAAUAUAUAAAAGGGUUGUAGUGCAAAAUGCACUCUGGACCAGAGAAGAAAAACUGAGUGUAGGGCUCAAAAUAUUUCAUGAAUGAGAUAUAUUUUUGCAUAAAAGUGAUUUAAAAACAUCACAUGACAUCUCCAAAUUUUUGUGGAAAUUUUAAGUGAAUCUAUCAAAUGGUUGUAGUUCAAAUAUGGCCAUAUAACCUUGAAAAACUAUUUUCAAGAAGGUAAAGAUCAAGCAAUUAACUUAGUUAAUUAGUUAUACUGAUAAAAGGAAAGUUUUUCUUGAGAGGUUAAACAAGUCCAAAAACAUAUUUGAAAAGUUUUCUCUUUGGGAAAAACUCAUCAUAACAGGGAAGGAAAUGAUUUAAAAAUCAAAAUGGAGCUCAGAAAUCCAGAGUUUUAAUUCCUAGCAAAAUUUUAAUUUAAUAAAACAAGGCCAAAUUUUUGGGGUGUCACAGCGUGGCCUUCUCCGUGCCAGCGCAUGCAUGCGGCACCGUCGCCGUGGCGCAGCACGCACGGAGCGCGCUCUCUGCCGCCGAUGGGCCCGCGCCACCCCGUUCCGUCGAGCUCGACCCAAACACCCAAACCCCGGCCAGUUUAGCACUAAAACGGACCCAUUGAACCUCCGUGAUGACGCUCGACCCCCUAACCACCCCGCCCGAGCACUGCGCCACCGUAAUCGCUCGCCGGUGAUCCUCGUUCACGGCAACCGCCUCGGACCGCCUAUAUAAAGGGGUCCCGAGCUCACUCUCGUGCAUGCAGCACCCCCACUACUCACCAACACCCCCGCCAGGCCACUAGGGGGACCUCGAGGAGGUCUCCUCCCCCAGCUCCGGCCGCCUCGCCCCGCCUCGGCCUCCAGCCCGAUUCGUUCUGGUGAGGCCAUCUCCAGCGCUCAAACCCCGUUCGUUACCCUCUCUAGCUGCCAGGAGCAUGACCCCCUCUUCAAUUUAACCUUUGCAGCCCUCUCCGACGAGCCCCUCGACCACCCGAGCCGCCGUCCGCCGGAGCAAAGCUCGCCGUCGACGUGGUGCUCGCCGACCGACUCUACCACCAUCAACUGACGCGGAAGGGUGCCCUGAGCACGGAGGUACUCUCCGAUCUCUCUGCCUCGCCGUGGAUCGCCGCCGGCGACCACCGCGGCUCUCGGGCGCCGGCGAACUCUGCCGCCCCGUUUGAACAUUUGAACCUGACGGGUGGGACCCCACCGUCAGCCUCUCUGCUCUCUCUUUCGAAUUGUUUUCUGGAAGCGCCUUCGGGCAGAAUGUGUUUUCUCUUCGGGCUGGCGUAGUCGCUACCGAAGCGUUUUCUGUUUUUAUAAACUAGCCCCUGGAAAUCUUCUGUUUCAUUACAGAUAAGUUCCUGGACAAAAACCCUUAUAACUUUUAAUCAGAAAAGUAUUUUUGAUUGAUUCUUUUUCUGUUCUCUUUAGAAUUUUGUCUAGUUUUUUAUCAGAUUUAUUUGAAAAAUAUUUGGUUUACCUUCUGUGCUCUCCUUGGUAUUUACAUUAGCGCAUAUAUUUUCUUUAAACCGUAGAUACCGAAGGAGGUGACGGAGCCGCGAACUUCACCGAGCUAGGCUCCGACUACUCUGAACCAGGCAAGCAUGUUUGAACUUUUGAUAUGAUGAGUGUCUCGGCAUGUUUUGCAUUUAGUUAGUUUCAUGGCAUGUUGGUAAGCAUACCGAUGAACGAUAUUUUAUGUGAUAAUAAGGUGAGUAAGUUCAAUGAUCCAUACGUGGAUGAAUGUGAAUAUGAAUGGCCAUGUGUUGGCAUGAGGAUGGGUACGAUGGCAGUGUUGUAGCAUGCCAGUCUUACGCCAGACUAUGUGACUUCAGUGACAAACCAUAUCGGUCCAGUACCUAUCAUUUCCUUCCUUGUACUACCACAUGUUUUCCGCAAGGAAUAUGGUUUAGUAAGUUGCAAACCACUUUCAUGGUACACACCAAAGAGGAGAGGCCGUGAUGAUGGUUCCAUGGCCCUGGAUUAAAGCCAGUCAUCCGGUCAGGGGGCAUGGGUGUUUCCGGUUGGGACCGAGAGGGGGGCACCCCUUAGAGCGCGCGUAUAUAAAUUUGAUCCCAUGCUAUUCGAGAUUGUGAUCUCCCCGUCUCAAAAGUUUUUCUUGGACGAUGACUAGGGUGAUUCCUAGCAUCGAGAGGUAGGAUGGGUGUGUACCGGUUAGCUGUGUUUUCUUCCGAAAUACCAUAANNNNNNNNNNNNNNNNNNNNNNNNNNNNNNNNNNNNNNNNNNNNNNNNNNNNNNNNNNNNNNNNNNNNNNNNNNNNNNNNNNNNNNNNNNNNNNNNNNNNNNNNNNNNNNNNNNNNNNNNNNNNNNNNNNNNNNNNNNNNNNNNNNNNNNNNNNNNNNNNNNNNNNNNNNNNNNNNNNNNNNNNNNNNNNNNNNNNNNNNNNNNNNNNNNNNNNNNNNNNNNNNNNNNNNNNNNNNNNNNNNNNNNNNNNNNNNNNNNNNNNNNNNNNNNNNNNNNNNNNNNNNNNNNNNNNNNNNNNNNNNNNNNNNNNNNNNNNNNNNNNNNNNNNNNNNNNNNNNNNNNNNNNNNNNNNNNNNNNNNNNNNNNNNNNNNNNNNNNNNNNNNNNNNNNNNNNNNNNNNNNNNNNNNNNNNNNNNNNNNNNNNNNNNNNNNNNNNNNNNNNNNNNNNNNAAGCCCUUUCUGCGAUGUCGCUCAGACGUCCGACUGUGGCAUUUCUUUUAAAGCCCUUUCUGCGAUGGCGCUCAGACGUCCGACUGUGGCAUUUCAUUUAAAGUCCUUUCUGCGAUGUCGCUCAGACGUCCGACUGUGGCAUUUCUUUUAAAGCCCUUUCUGCGAUGUCGCUCAGACAUCCGACCGUGGCAUUUCUUUUAAAGCCCUUUAUGUGGUGUCGCUAAGAUGCCCGACUGUGGCAUCAUUCACCUUUUGAGGCGUCGCUUCAGGCACCCGAUCGGUCUUUAUUUAUGCUCUGUGGGAUUUCAGGCGGACUACCGCCGUUUCCCUUUUUACUUACCCCGUUAUGCAAAUUUUUAUUUAUUGUGCAUUAAGGAAUUAAUCAUGUUGCAUCCAUGCACGCAGUUGUUAUAUCUUACAUCCGAACUGUCUUGCGAGUACUUUCAAAGUACUCACUGGCUUGUUGAUUUGGCCAGAUGCUGACGAAGGCGAUCUCAUGGAUGAAGAGUUCGAUAGCGAGUCCGACACUUAGAGGAGUCCCAGUCAGUCUCGUGCGACCCUGGAUUUGGUCACUGUUUUAUAUCCGCUUCCGCUACCAAAUAAAUUUAUCGAGCCUCACCUCGAUGUUCGAUGAAAUGAUAUUCUUAGAGUCUUGUAUUUCCCUUCCCGCUGUGCUUUUCCACCACCAACCUAUCCAUGAGUCAGUAGUAUGUCUCCACACCACUGUGUCCUGUCCGCCAUUAUGUAUGAUUAUUGGCGUGCUUGUAAUAAUUUGGUUGAGCGACCGCAGUUCAACCCUGUAAUAUAUUUUACGCUACUGCCUUAUUGUAUCAAGAAAUUGUCUACCAGUGAGGAGGAUUUCUCUCAUACUGGACUCAAAAGACUGGUUUAUCAAUAAAUAUUUUUAUUGGAAAACCGGUCGUGACAAGCUUGGUACCAGAGCCAGGCUGACUGUAGGAAGCCACUAGGUGCGAUCGCUAAUUAGUUAUUAGCAUGACAGGGCUAUUUUAUGCUUUUGCAAUUGUAGUCAUUUUCUGUCAGUCAGCAUAAAUUUAUUAUCUGACCCUGCAGAAUUUUGCCUACUUUUGUAGAUGGCCGACGUCAGCUGCGAAUCUCAGACCUUCGCCAACGUGCCCGAUGGGUUCGUCAAACUUCUUUCUUCCAUCGUUAGGGUCGCGAUGGGGCCAUCCGUGCGCCCAGUCUUCACACUCUACCAGCACCGAGUCAACGACAGUCUGACCAUGCACCAGGCCGCGGUGCAGUUCAGGGGAGGGCGUGGUGAGUCACGCCGCUUCCGGUUCGUGGGAAGAGCUAUGCCUACGGAGGGGCAUGCUAUGCAGAUGGCAGCCCGCGAGGCGAUAGCUCGUCUCAGGGAUGUCCUUCCCGUGAUGAAGACUCGUCAUUACCGUUAUCUUCCAUGCCAUGUGCCUUACACCUGUCACUACGCAUACUCCUGCCCCAGAGGAGAACGAGACGAGGCUUUUGAGAUGCUCAUUGAGUAUCUCCGGGCCCUGGAGGCAGCCUUCGACAACCUGGUGGACGACUUCGUAGCUACCCGCAUGGACUCAGUCCAUGGCUGUGCUGCCAACAGGAGGGAGCUCCUACCCAUCGCUCCGCCACCGACUUUUGUCUCGUCAUCAGCAUCUUUUACGCCUACUCGUCGCCUGCCUUCUACCGAAGAAUUUAACCAAGUCAUUGCACCCACUCCAGCGCGCACUACACCAACCUUCGCGCCCACUCCUGUACGUGUUGCUCCGCCCCUGGCAACCGCUCCGUCCGCUCUGCACAACACUACACGUAUGGAACCCAUUAGCGAGGAGGAAGUCGAGUCCCCAACCUCGCUACGCCUCUCCCUCGGCAGGGCAAGGGAGAUCGUCAACAUCUCUGCCUGAGUACGCUUAGCUGCCGUGUAUUGUACCGCUUUGUAGGAUAUGUAAUGAGCAGUCCUUCUCCGUGCGCAAUUCGAUUUGUUUUUCUUAAGUAAGCUUGGGUAUUUAAUAAUAUCUGCCAGCUUUAUGCAUUUAUGGUUUUAUUUUUGCGACUCUUUCCGCUUUUCUUAAGAGUUUUACAAAAAAAAUUCCCAGAGUGAAAAAUGUCUCGUCCUUGGACACGUUCCAUGCCAACUCCACCAGAGGAAAUUCAUGAUACUCAACCCAACAAUGAGUUCACUCAGGGACAGACAAGCCAACAAGGUAGUGAAUCGGCACUUUCACAAAUGUGCCGCCUUUAUGAACAGAGUCAGCAACAACAUCGCGAGAUGAUGAACCAAGUCAUCAACAUGGGGAAUCAUCAUGGACAGUAUCAGCAACAUUCCAAGUUAUCUGAGCUACAGAAGACACGUCCUCAAACAUUUUCUCACACUGACAAGCCUCUUGAAGCCGAGGACUGGCUUCGAGAUAUGGAGAGGAAAUUAAUUAUUGCAAAGUGUUCAGAUCUCGAGAAAGUACUAUAUGCUCCACACUAUCUCACAGGAGCAGCCGCAUCGUGGUGGGAGAAUUUUCUGCACAUGCAUCCCAACGAAAAUGACAUAACCUGGGAUGAUUUCAAGGAAGGUUUCCGUGGUGCACAUAUUCCUAAGAGUAUUAUGAAAAUCAAGAAGAGAGAAUUUGAUGACCUCAAACAAAGGAACAUGACAGUGUCAGAUUACAACAGUCAAUUUACCCUAUUAUCCCGCUACGCCAAUGAGGAGCGUAUGACUGAAAUCAAGAAGAUGGAGAAAUUCCUUGACGGUCUGGCGCCCGCGCUUAAAUGCCAACUGGUCGUGCACACUUUUCCUGAUUUUAAAACGCUGGUGGACAAGGCCAUUACUCUGGAAAAUGAGAGACGCAGUCUGGAAGAUAUCCGCAAGCGAAAAAGGGACCAGAUUAAUCACACUCGCAAUCACCGAAGCAAGAUAGAUUUUAAAAAGGGUGGGACACCCAAAUUCUCAUCCAAUGUCUCACGCCCAAUCAAGAAUUUUCAUGCAAGGGACAAGGAAUUCACCUAUCGCCCCGGCGUUACUUGUUACGCUUGUGGAGAAGAAGGGCAUUAUGCCAAACAGUGCCCCAAGCCAAGGAACUCAACCCCAAAGCCGAACAACGGCGGCAAUAAUUCAGCACCCAAACGAAACAAUUUCAAUCCCAACAAUAACCACAGGAAGGGUCAUCUGAACCACGUAACCAAAGAGGAGGCACAAAAUGCUCCGGAUAUCGUACUCGGUACGUUUCCUGUCAACACAAUACCUGCAAUGGUUUUGUUUGAUUCUGGAGCUUCUCACUCUUUCAUCUCGAAAAGUCUUGCUUUGCAAAAUAAUUUUUCGAUGCUUCCUUUGGAGAGAUCCAUAAUAAUCAAGUCCCCCGGGAUUCAGCAAGUUUCUCAGAAUUACUGUCAGAAUGUGGUCAUUGAGUUUGAAGGAUUGGAGUUUUACGCAAAUCUUAUUGUAUUGGAAAAUAAAGGACUGGAUGUCAUCCUAGGGAUGGAUUGGCUAACCACCAAUAAAGGUUUUAUCGACUGUUUCAACAGGACCGUGAUUCUCACACACCACCAAGGGAAGAAAAUAAGAGUAUCAGCCAAGGAAGGAAAAAGACCCCGGCAACCGAGAUUAAAUAAGGUGGACGUUUCUGAGCUAAAUAAGGUUCCAGUAGUGCGUGAAUUUCCAGAUGUAUUCCCUGAAGAGCUGCCAGGCAUGCCACCAGAUCGAGAAAUAGAAUUCUGCAUUGAGCUAGCACCAGGAACCACCCCCAUAUACAAGAAGCCAUACAGAAUGGCACCAUCCGAGUUGAUCGAAUUGAAGAAGCAAAUAAAGGAAUUACUGGAUAAAGGAUACAUUCGGGCCAGCUCCUCACCUUGGGGAUCACCAAUUUUAUUUGCCAAGAAGAAGGAUGGAACGCUGAGAUUGUGUAUCGACUAUCGAGCACUUAACAUGGUCACAGUCAAAAACAAAUACCCGAUGCCAAGGAUAAACGAUUUGUUUGAUCAACUUGCUCAGGCCAAGGUAUUCUCAAAAAUUGACUUAAGGUCGGGAUACCAUCAAUUGAAGGUACGAACGGAAGAUAUCCCCAAAACAGCCUUCACCUCCAGAUAUGGACUGUACGAGUUCACAGUAAUGCCAUUUGGAUUAACUAACGCCCCGGCAUAUUUUGUUCACCUCAUGAACAAAGUAUUUAUGAAGUUUAUGGACAAAUUCGUCGUAGUAUUCAUCGACGAUAUUCUGGUAUACUCCAAAACACCAGAAGAGCACGCAGAACAUCUCAGGAUUGUACUAGGAGAGCUAAGGAAACACCAAUUGUAUGCCAAGUUCAGCAAGUGCGAAUUUUGGCUAAGACAAGUAGGUUUCCUAGGCCACGUACUGACUCAAGACGGUAUAGCAGUGGACCCGGAGAAAGUCAAGGCCGUACUUGACUGGAAGUCACCAGCCAGCGUAACAGACAUACGAAGUUUCUUGGGAAUGGCAGGAUAUUACCGCAGAUUUAUUGAAGGAUUUUCCACCAUAUCCAAGCCUAUGACACAGUUACUCAAGAAGGAUAAGAAGUUUGAGUGGACAGAAGCCUGCGAGAAAAGUUUCCAAGAGCUAAAGCGGAAAUUAACAACAGCACCGGUAUUAAUUGUACCCGAUAUACACAAGAAUUUUGAAGUAUUUUGUGACGCAUCCAGAAAGGGUCUCGGAUGCGUGUUGAUGCAAGAAGGCAAGGUUGUCGCCUACGCUUCAAGGCAACUUCGCAAACACGAGGAAAAUUAUCCCACUCAUGAUUUAGAAAUGGCAGCAGUUAUUCAUGCACUCAAGGAAUGGAGGCAUUUUCUACUUGGAAAUCGAUGUGAGAUAUAUACGGAUCACAAAAGCCUCAAAUACAUUUUUACGCAGCCAGAACUAAAUUUACGGCAACGCCGCUGGUUAGAAUUGGUAAAGGAUUACGAUGUUGGUAUCCAUUACCAUCCAGGGAAAGCAAACGUAGUGGCCGAUGCCCUGAGUCGGAACCCCAGCUCCGACGGGAACUAUCUGCACAGCUUGAGGCCCGAAUUCCAUCAAGAAUUUGUCAAGCUCAACUUGAUAAUGGUAGCAGAAGGCACCAUAUCAAACUUGGAAAUACAACCACACCUUGUGGAGAAAAUUAAAGAGGCUCAGUCCGGUCACCCCAGCAUUGAAGGAAUUAAAAGGAAGUUGAGUAUGGGCAAGGCCUCGGAAUUCGUCAUAGACAGUGAAGGAAUAUUAUGGUACGGAGAAAGGCUAUGCGUGCCAAACAUACAAGACCUUAAACAGCAAGUUUUAACUGAAGCACACACCACUCCAUAUUCGAUCCACCCUGGAGGAACCAAAAUGUAUAAGGAUAUUCAGGAAAGAUUUUGGUGGCACGGUAUGAAGAGGGACAUAGCCGCUUUCAUUGCAUGUUGCGACUCAUGUCAACGCAUAAAAGCUGAACAUCAGAGACCAGCCGGACUACUGCAACCUAACAAAAUACCUGAGUGGAAAUGGGAUGAAAUAGGGAUGGAUUUUAUUGUCGGAUUACCUCGGUCACGACACGGGAAUGAUGCCAUAUGGGUCAUCACUGACAGGUUGACCAGAGUAGCACACUUUAUUCCAGUGAAGACAACCUACACCACUCAGAGGCUUGCCAGGAUUUAUCUUUCCCGCAUAGUCUGUCUGCACGGUGUCCCGAAGACUAUAAUUUCCGACAGAGGCACUCAGUUCGUCUCAAGAUUUUGGGAGCAAUUACAACAGGCUCUGGGAACCCAACUAGCCUUCAGUACCGCAUACCAUCCACAGACUGAUGGACAAACAGAACGCGUAAACCAAGUUUUAGAAGACAUGCUGAGAGCAUGUGUCCUCACCUAUGGAACCAGUUGGGAGGACAGCCUGCCAUAUGCCGAGUUCGCAUACAACAACAGUUACUAGGCCAUCCUGCAAAUGGCUCCUUUCGAAGCCCUAUACGGAAGGAGAUGUCGUACCCCGUUAAAUUGGUCAGAGACCGGAGACAGCCGCAUCUUCGGACCAGAUAUGCUCAGAGAAGCCGAGGAAAAAGUCAAGUUAAUCAGGGACCGACUUAAGACCGCUCAAAGUCGACAGAAAAGUUAUUAUGAUCAGAAACAUCGUAGGGUCAGCUUCGAACCCGGUGAAUUCGUAUACUUGAGAGUAUCCCUGAUGAGAGGAUUGCAACGGUUUAAGAUUAAAGGAAAAUUAGCACCAAGAUUCAUUGGACCAUUUUGCAUAGUGGCACGAAGAGGCACUGUAGCCUACCAGCUAGACUUACCCGAAGACUUGUCCGACAUUCACGACGUGUUCCACGUCUCUCAAUUAAGGAAGUGCGUAAGCAACCCAGAGAAACAAGUAUCUCAUGAGAACAUUGACGUACAGCCAGACCUCACUUAUCGAGAACGUCCCAUAAGAAUAUUAGAGGAGUCUGAAAGGAGGACCCGACAGAAAACCAUCAAGUUUUUCAAAGUCCAGUGGAGCAAUCACACCGACAGUGAAGCAACUUGGGAAAGCGAGGAUUUUCUUCGGACAGAGCAUCCACACUUAUUUAAGGAUCAGCUAAAAUCUCGGGGAUGAGAUUUUUCCUAAGGGGGUAGGUGUUGUGACACUCCAAAAUUUUUAUUUGGUUUUUAUCAAAAACUUUGUGGUUUUGAGGAGAGACUUUUUUUUUAUUUUUCUUUUUCAGAAAAACCUUCCUCUUAAAAACCUCCUUUUGCCUUGGCAGGGAUUUUAUUUCUUUCAAACUUUGGUGGUUGAUCUUUUGCAAACUUCUUCUCUGUUAGUUCCCUCUAAAAAUUUAAAUUUUUUUGGGAGCUUUUAAUUUGUUUUUUUUAAGUGAAGCUCUAUGAAAAUUUGGGUUUUUCUUAUCUUUGAAGCCACCCUUGGCUUUGUAUUUUUGCCCAUGAGAUAAAACCCCUCCAAAACCUCCCCUCCCCCUUGUGAUCAACCUAAAUUCUCUGUCCCAACUAAUCCAAACUGGUUUUGGAUUCUAUUCUAAUUAUUUUCCCCCCCAAUUCAAUUCUGAAAAUUAUUUGGAGCCUGAGGGAUUUUCAAAGCAAGUACACUUUUUCAUUUGAGUUUUGAACUCAAACCAAUUCUCCUGGAUUGUCCUUUGAACCCACAACCCAGAACCAUCUUGAUCCACUCCUCCUCUUUUCAAAUUUUUCAAAAUACAGUCUCUGCAAGUUUGGACCAGAUUUGCCAAAUUUGGUGAAAUUCAUAUCUACACUCCAAAAAUUCCACCAAAAUUCAGACAGCCUAUUUGAGCAAUGAGAAGCCACUCCACCAAAAAUCAGCUCAAGGAAAAAUCCCUACAUGCCUGGAUCAUUCUGUCGAACACCUUGCAUGCACUGUUUUCCUUGCACUUUCAGAAAUUUAGUUUUCAGUUUCGACAGUUUCAGUCACGCGGCCACAGUGCACUUGGCACGUUGCUCGCGGCCUCGCUUGCUUGUCCGAAGCUUCACACGCGCACUUGGCGCGACCCUGGCGUCGGUGGCGCCCUGGCCCGCCUGCGCCGGCGUGUCUUGCGGCGGCCGGCUCCCCGUAACGGCCGACAGGGAGGAGAAUGGCGGCGCAACGCCGUUCGGCACCGCCCAAAUCCUCUGGUGGCUCCGCGUGGCCUUCUCCGUGCCAGCGCACGCAUGCGGCAUCGUCGCCGUGGCGCAGCACGCACGGAGCGCGCUCUCUGCCGCCGACGGGCCCGCGCCACCCCGUUCCGUCGAGCUCGACCCAAACACCCAAACCCCGGCCAGUUUAGCACUAAAAUGGACCCAUUGAACCUCCGUGAUGACGCUCGACCCCCUAACCACCCCGACCGAGCACUGCGCCACCGUAAUCGCUCGCCGGUGAUCCUCGUUCACGGCAACCGCCUCGGACCGCCUAUAUAAAGGGGUCCCGAGCUCACUCUCGUGCACGCAGCACCCCCACUACUCACCAACACCCCGCCAGGCCACUAGGGGGACCUCGAGGAGGUCUCCUCCCCCAGCUCCGGCCGCCUCGCCCCGCCUCGGCCUCCAGCCCGAUUCGUUCUGGUGAGGCCAUCUCCGGCGCUCAAACCCCGUUCGUUACCCUCUCUAGCUGCCAGGAGCAUGACCCCCUCUUCAAUUGAACCUUUGCAGCCCUCUCCGACGAGCCCCUCAACCACCCGAGCCGCCGUCCGCCGGAGCAAAGCUCGCCGUCGACGUGGUGCUCACCGACCGACUCUACCACCAUCAACUGACGCGGAAGGGUGCCCUGAGCACGGAGGUACUCUCCGAUCUCUCUGCCUCGCCGUGGAUCGCCGCCGGCGACCACCGCGGCUCUCGGGCGCCGGCGAACUCUGCCGCCCCGUUUGAACAUUUGAACCUGACGGGUGGGACCCCACCGUCAGCCUCUCUGCUCUCUCUUUCGAAUCGUUUUCUGGAAGCGCCUUCGGGCAGAAUGCGUUUUCUCUUCGGGCUGGCGUAGUCGCUACCGAAGCGUUUUCUGUUUUUAUAAACUAGCCCCUGGAAAUCUUCUGUUUCAUUACAGAUAAGUCCCUGGACAAAAACCCUUAUAACUUUUAAUCAGAAAAGUAUUUUUGAUUGAUUCUUUUUCUGUUCUCUUUAAAAUUUUGUCUAAUUUUUUACCAGAUUUAUUUGAAAAAUAUUUGGUUUACCUUCUGUGCUCUCCUUGGUAUUUACUUUAGCGCAUAUAUUUUCUUUAAACCGUAGAUACCGAAGGAGGUGACGGAGCCGCGAACUUCACCGAGCUAGGCUCCGACUAUUUUGAACCAGGCAAGCAUGUUUGAACUUUUGAUAUGAUGAGUGUCUCGGCAUGUUUUGCAUUUAGUUAGUUUCAUGGCAUGUUGGUAAGCAUACCGAUGAACGAUAUUUUAUGUGAUAAUAAGGUGAGUAAGUUCAAUGAUCCAUACGUGGAUGAAUGUGAAUAUGAAUGGCCAUGUGUUGGCAUGAGGAUGGGUACGAUGGCAGUGUUGUAGCAUGCCAGUCUUACGCCAGACUAUGUGACUUCAGUGACAAACCAUAUCGGUCCAGUACCUAUCAUUUCCUUCCUUGUACUACCACAUGUUUUCCGCAAGGAAUAUGGUUUAGUAAGUUGCAAACCACUUUCAUGGUACACACCAAAGAGGAGAGGCCGUGAUGAUGGUUCCAUGGCCCUGGAUUAAAGCCAGUCAUCCGGUCAGGGGGCAUGGGUGUUUCCGGUUGGGACCGAGAGGGGGGCACCCCUUAGAGCGCGCGUAUAUAAAUUUGAUCCCAUGCUAUUCGAGAUUGUGAUCUCCCCGUCUCAAAAGUUUUUCUUGGACGAUGACUAGGGUGAUUCCUAGCAUCGAGAGGUAGGAUGGGUGUGUACCGGUUAGCUGUGUUUUCUUCCGAAAUACCAUAAACGGAACAAGUCCUUCGUGACUACGGAAAUCCGUUGACUGUGGGAAAAAUUUUGUACAAACUCUGCAGAGUCAUAUAUUCCUCCAAAUCAUCUCUUCCAUGUCAAGUUUCGUUCCAUCUUAUCCUAAUAAAUUGUCAGCUUUGAUGACAGAGACUCCGGUGGAUCGCAUGAGUGCUAAGUUCGAUUGAAUGAUUAUCCCUGUGGAUGGACUAACCCGUUUUUUCUCAUGGAUUGAAUGUUUAUUAUGAGUAUUGUUUACUGGUGAAUUUUAAAGCCCUUUCUGCGAUGUCGCUCAGACGUCCGACUGUGGCAUUUCAUUUAAAGCCCUUUCUGCGAUGUCGCUCAGACGUCCGACUGUGGCAUUUCUUUUAAAGCCCUUUCUGCGAUGUCGCUCAGACGUCCGACUGUGGCAUUUCUUUUAAAGCCCUUUCUGCGAUGUCGCUCAGACAUCCGACCGUGGCAUUUCUUUUAAAGCCCUUUAUGUGGUGUCGCUAAGAUGCCCGACUGUGGCAUCAUUCACCUUUCGAGGCGUCGCUUCAGACACCCGAUCGGUCUUUAUUUAUGCUCUGUGGGAUUUCAGGCGGACUACCGCCGUUUCCCUUUUUACUUACCCCGUUAUGCAAAUUUUUAUUUAUUGUGCAUUAAGGAAUUAAUCAUGUUGCAUCCAUGCACGCAUUUGUUAUAUCUUAUGUCCGAACUGUCUUGCGAGUACUUUCAAAGUACUCACUGGCUUGUUGAUUUGGCCAGAUGCUGACGAAGGCGAUCUCAUGGAUGAAGAGUUCGAUAGCGAGUCCGACACUUAGAGGAGUCCUAGUCAGUCUCGUGCGACCCUGGAUUUGGUCACUGUUUUAUAUCUGCUUCCGCUACCAAAUAAAUUUAUCGAGCCUCACCUCGAUGUUCGAUGAAAUGAUAUUCUUAGAGUCUUGUAUUUCCCUUCCCGCUGUGCUUUUCCACCACCAACCUAUCCAUGAGUCAGUAGUAUGUCUCCACACCACUGUGUCCUGUCCGCCAUUAUGUAUGAUUAUUGGCGUGCUUGUAAUAAUUUGGUUGAGCGACCGCUGUUCAACCCUGCAAUAUAUUUUACGCUACUGGCUUAUUGUAUCAAGAAAUUGUCUACCAGUGAGGAGGAUUUCUCUCAUACUGGACUCAAAAGACUGGUUUAUCAAUAAAUAUUUUUAUUGGAAAACCGGUCGUGACAAUAUAACACUUACUGCAAUGCAUAUAAACAUGCCAUGAACUAACUACUCAUUGCAAACAUGCAAAACACUCAUCAUAUCAAAGGUUCAAACAUGCUUGCCUGGUUCGAAGUAGUUGGAGUCUAGCUCGGUGAAGUUCGCGGUUCCGUCACCUCCUCCGGUAUCUACGGUAUAAAGAAAAUACGCACUAACGUAAAUACCGUGUGUGCACAAAACGUGUUCCAAAUAUUUUUCAAAUAAAUCAGAUAAAAAAACUAGACAGAAAAAUAAAGAUGACAGAAAAAGAAUCAAUCAAAAAUCAUUUUCAGUUUAGGAGUUAUUAAAGUUUUGGCCCAGGGACUUGUCUGUAAUGAAACAGAAAGUUUCCAGGGGCUAGCUUAUAAAAACAGAAAAUGAUUCGAUGAAAACCCGCCAACUCCAAAGGAAAAACGUAUCCUGCCCGAAGGCGUUUCCAGAAAACGGUUCGAAUAUAAAAGAGAGGCUGACGAGGGGGUCCCACUCGUCAAGUUUAAAAGUUCGAGAGAGAAAACAGAGUGCGUCGGUGCCCGAAGCUUGCGAUGGUCGCCGACGACGAUCCACGGUGAGUUAGGAGGAGCGGAGGGUACCUACGGACUCAGGGUGCUCUUCCGCGUCUGUGGGUGGCGGAGUUGGUCAUUGGAGAGCCCCACGUCGACGGCGGCCUUCACUCCAGCGGACGGCGACUCGGGCGUCGAUGGAUCUCGCCGGGAAGGGCUGCAAGUUUCAAAUUGGGGCGUGGGUUAGUGGAGUGGGUGCACUAGGAUGCCACUGGUACAACGUGAGAGGUGGGGGUGGACGCACUCGAGCUAACCUUGCCGGAGCCCGAAGCGGAUCGGGGCGGCCGGAGUCGGAGGAGAAGGCCCUUUACGUUGGCCUGUAGCUGAAGUAGUAUGCUGUAGGUAGACAUUCAUUGGGCUGGUCCAUUUACGUUGGCAUGCUUCGUGUGUGUCCAUUCUGUAUGCUUCUUUUUUAAUCCCAUGUAGGUUUAUUUACUCUUUUAGGUUCCUACUUUAGUGACCAUGGAUCUUUAGGUUUUUUCAAUUUAAUGGAAUUGGGUCCUACAUGAUUUUUUGCCUAUUUUAAUGUAUGUAUUUGCCUAACAUAGUUUACAAAAUCUUUAGUUAGAGGUAACCCAUCUUUGGUUACAUAUCUCACAAUCAGAUAAGAACAUUGUGCCAGAUCAGCUAACUUUCAGAUGUUGCCUGUAACCAAAGAUUGGUUACCUCUAGAUGGAUAGAUUCAUUUGAUUGGGUGACCUGAAUUUAUGAUGCCCUUUUUAUACUACAGAAGAUGCACCAGGCAUCUAUUUUUUGUCAUGAAAAAUGCAUAGGACCAUUUGCCUUGUAUUGUUACCCACUUUGGAAGAGUAACCUAUUGUUGUGUGUCGAGUGAUGGCGAUGAAUCAGCUAACUUCUGUAAAGUACAUACAAAGAUGUACUAUAUAUGUGCAAAGUAUCGAUUCAGUACACCGAACCCAAAUGCCAAGCAAGCACAAAGAUGUCAAAAGCAGUUAAAAUAAUCGUAAACAAUCUGGAAACAUAUAGCUUUGAAUAGACAUUUAUUAUUUUUUUGAAGAGUUCAGUCCAUGCAUGUUUUUUGCCAUCUAAUUUUAUGUUCUGGGCUUAAAUCAGAUAGAGGCUUUAAGAAUAUCCAGUUUAAAUAAUGACAGUCUUAAUUUGGAUAAAUAAAAUAACAAGAGCUUCAGACUAAUGUGGAAAAAUUGGUCAAAAUAUAAAAUUUUGGUUCCUCUCAGUUUAGUUGGUGGCCUAUAUGAAUUCCAUUUGGCCCACAAUAUUUUUGUACAGUUAUUGAUUUGCUAGGGUAAAUUCUAAACUUAAUUUUGUUAGCUUCUAUCAGGUGUUCUUUCUUAUAAUAUUUUUUAUAUGUCGCAAGCUUACUCUCUUGAUGAGAGUUACUCCAUGUUUAUGAAGAAAAGAUUUGGGUUCAGAGCACCUUCGGUCAUAAGAAUUUGUUUUCUAAUUCUUGCUGGUCAGUCACAAAGCAUUAAUUUUUGUUUGCUUUACAAUUUUUUCAGGAGCAAUGGGAAAUGAUGAGCUCCUGCUUCUUUUUAUGUCGGUUUAGGAGUGUAGGAAGCGGUUCCUCGCCGGUUGGACGUUGUUCAACCGCAACUCUGGCACCCACUGAGUACUUCCUCGGCUACAACCUCCUUCGGUGAGCUGUAUCUUCCUCCUUCUCCUCUGCUUCAGCUACUGUAUGGGACAUAGCCAGGGCUAUGAUGAUCGGUUAUGGCCGAUAUAAGCAUGCUCUCGAGCAAUCGAGGCAUGUGUGGGUAUUAAGUUGGAUCCCCCUUUGUUUCUUUGAGCCGUUUCGAUCAUGUUCUUAUUUUAGUGGCUCUGUCCUUGGAUGGUCAUUUCUGAUGAGUGAUAACCAGGGCAGUUUCACCCUUUUAAGAACAUAUCCAUCGUGAAAUAAGUCACUAAGCAUUAAUUUUUGUUUGCUUUACAAUUUUUCCAGAAGCAAUGGGAAAUGAUGAGCUCCUGCUUCUUUUUAUGUCGGUUUAGGAGUGUAGGAAGCGGUUCCUCGCCGGUUGGACGUCAUUCAACCGCAACUCUGGCACCCACUGAGAACUUCCUCGGCUACAACCUCCUUCGGUGAGCUGCAUCUUCCUCCUGCUCCUCUCCAUCGGCUACUGUAUGGGACAUAGCCAGGGCUAUGAUGAUCGGUUAUGGCUGAUAUAAGCAUGCUCUCGAGCAAUCAAGGCACGUGUGGGUAUUAAGUUGGAUCCCCCUUCGUUUCUUUGAGCCAUUUUGAUCAUGUUCUUAUUUUAGUGGCUCUGUCCUUGGAUGGUCAUUUCUGAUGAGUGAUAACCAGGGCAGUUUCACCCUUGUAAGAACAUAUCCAUCGAGAAAUAAGGGAGACGGUCACUCCCGGGCGCUCUCAGCGAUUCGGCAUUCCUGGCCGUUGGAUCUUUUGCUUGAUGUGAUUUCGGCCGUCAGAUCUCGCCUCAGGAUGACACAGCCGUCGGAUCGACCCGGUGUACCUGUAGCAAUGAAUAGUUAAUGCCUCCACACGCUGCCGCUUACUUCGCCUAUUCGACCUAGACUCGCUGACCUGUGGGGCUGCUCGCGGGUGGGCCGCGUCCGUCAACGACCAUGUGAGCGGGCAUGGCAUGUGCGUCCAGUCACGUGCCCCACCGGCCGGAGGCCAUUCUUGCUAGGGCAAUGAUGAUUAACCAUGGCUGAAAUAAAUGUGCCUUUGAGCAAUCGAGACACCUGUGGGUAUCAAGUUGGAUCCUCCCUCUUGUCUCUAGAAUCCUUUUUGAUCUUGUGAUACUUAUUGUUCUGUCCUUGGAUGGUCAUUCUUGUUGAGUGAUAACCAGGGCAGCUCCACACUAAAAACAGAUUGAUCCGGUGAUAAGAGAUGACGGGGGUGGGUCACAUGAUCGAGAAAAGGUGAAUCUGAGCCCAUCAUGCAUUGAACCCCGAAUCCUUUUUAUUUGUAGUUAAAGGUGUAGCUUAUUUGUGCCCCCAUCGGUCGGAAGCCAUUCUUGCUAGGGCGAUGAUGAUUAGCCGUGGCUGAAAUAAGUGUGCCUUUGAGCAAUCGAGGCACCUGUGGGUAUCAAGUUGGAUCCUCCCUCUUGUCUCUAGAAUCCUUUUUGAUCCUGUGAUACUUAUUGUUCUGUCCUUGGAUGGUCGUUCUUGUUGAAUGAUAACCAGGGCAGCUCCACUGGAUAAACAGAUUGAUCUGGUGAAAGAGAUGAUGGGGGUAGAUUAUAUGAUCGAGGAAAGGCGAAUCUGGGCCCACUAUGCAUUGAACCCUGAACCCUUUUUAUUUGUAUUUAGAGGUGUUGCUUAUUUAUGCUCCAGUGUUUAUAGCCGUCUUAUGUAAAGAAAUCUCCCUUGUAUUUCCUCUUAUGGACGGCCCCCUCGCUAGCUCCUUGAUGUUUGUCCUACCCCAGUAAGAUCUAUGACAUGUUCAUGGCGUUGAUGUGGAGAAGCUCAACGACAAUGGAAUAUCCCUCUCCAUUUUGACAUCAGACAAGGUGGUAUUAAUCUUUUAUGUGUAAGUAUCUACUGCACAUACUGUCUUUCCUAGGCGUUCUUCUUUUCCAUCUGUACUACCUCACCUACUGUCAAAUGUUUGUGCUGGGUUGCUGACUUUUUUGCUGUGGAGUUUGCUUAUUUUGGGUUCUUCAUUGUGUUGGUAGGAUGUUUGCCGUGAGUUGUUCCUUUGGCACUAUCUGUAGGAAGCAGAGCCAAGCGAGGUUCUUAUAUCUGAGCAUAUUAAUCUCAUGCAUUAGUUUGUAAGCUAUGGGGUUGCAGGCUUAAACUCAAAAUUGUCUUGCAAUGUAUUAGAUUGUACCCUGGAACCUAGGCACAACCAUCUAUAUACAUUGUUCUAUCUUGUAGAUUGGGAUCCCCGUCAGUUGCUUCCCCUUUUUUGUUUCCAGUUAUGUCAUCUUUGCAAAUUUAUGUUGUGCAUGUACACACGUUUUUUGGACAACUGCAUGAGAGAAAGCUUACAAGUAGAUGAGUUACAGAUCUUCCAUGAAUCCUAUUGUCCUUGCAGACCUACAACAACAAACUUUCGAUUACGUAUAUGCUUAUUGUUUGUUCAGUUGGCAUACUUCAGAUUGCAUUGGUUAGGUUAUAGUCCAUGUGUGUAGGUCUGGAUAGCAUAGGCUUCUGUUGAGAGCACUUUGAUCAGGUGGCACUGCACACCUCAAAUCACCACAAGUUUGUUCUUCACCUAUACAGUACAGUCACAGUCACCCGCCCAGAACUUGAAAUUGGAACCAGAGAGCAGUAAUUUCUUAGGGAGCUAGCUCAAUGUUGUAUAAAAGGAGAUUUAUGAGAUUUUAGUCUUGAAAAUUUUAUGGUAUUUUGUCUUCCAGGUUCCUCUAUAUCUGCUGCAAGGCUUGGAUUACCAUAUAAGGCCGAAUUCAGCACAUAAGAAAGCAGAACAAAUCAUUGAUAGUGUCACGGUUUGAUCCAGCUCGAUGGCGAGCUCCUCUGCCCUCCCUAAGCCCGGUGAUGAUUUGUACGGUCAGUCUUCCCUGCACGGUGGUGGGCGAAGGAGGUGUACGUCUCUGCAAGUUUGUUGUGCCUCCCUCAGGUUCCGUGAUGGCCGACGGCGAGGUGCCCACCGGUGAGCUUUUUUUCCUUGGUUGCCUUUCUAUUAUUGUGAUUCGGUUUGUGAUGCUCUGCUGCUCAUCUAGGUUGAUGGUGGAGCUGCGAUCCAAAGUUGGAGCGUGCCCUUUCGUUGGUGCCGUCAUUCUCUCCUCCACGACCGUCGUUGUUACGAGCCUAAGUAGCUUGGUUGGGUAUCGACGGCGUUGGUGGACCUAAUAGGUCCGUCUCUUUCUCUAAAAAGAAAAGCACAACGAGUUAUCUAUAUUUUGUCUGUAUGUGGUUCUAUACUUUUUUCUGCUAAUUUCUAAGUGAUUUUUAACCCAUUGUGAUACUAAAAACCUGAUAAAGAAUAUAUUUUAUGACUGAAUGUUUGAUGUGGGGCUGGAAGAAUUAUAGUUUUGUUUUGUACAUAAAUCUUCUAUGUAGUCAUGGUACUAAAUGUCCUAACAUAUACCCGUAUGUUCUGUUUAUCUCCUACAAAUAGUGAAAUGGUCUAUAUGUAAAGUGUUUAUGUUUAGUUAUAUUAUGUUGUCGACGAUGCGUGGUUCUGGAACAUGGAGAUUAACAUUGAAGCUUUUGGUAUCUUGAAUUCUUAUGCUUUGUUAUUAACUUGAUGUGAUCCAGUUUUUUCUACUUGGCAUUGCCACUGACUUGCUUUCAGUGUCGUAUAACUAAACUCUUUUGGCUGAACUGGACGCAGAUUAAUUGUCCUGCCUUGCUUUUGGAACAAAUUAAAUGUAUCUUCUUUUUCAUGAGCCUGCAGAUCAAUUAUUCUAUAGAUACUAAUACACUCAUUAGUUUCAAACAAGUACUGUAAUUUCUGAUGUACCAAAUGAUUUACGGUAUAGUGAAAUCUUACACGCUGGACCAAUUCAAUGUUUCUUCUUUCUCUUAAACCAGAAAAAAUUGUUGUCUUGUUGAAUACGUAUGCUAAACCAUGUUUCCUACUAACGCAUCAUAUCUUUUGAUCAUUACCUUCUUGACCACAUCGUUGGGACAUGCACAGGUUCAUGUGAAGUGGUGCCUAUGAAGAUCAUCGACAAGGCAGUUGAGUGGAGUCACUUAUUAGUAUGAAGUGGCGCUUAUGAAGUUGAUCGACAAGGCAGUUGAGUGAAGCCACUUAUUAGUAUGCUUAGUAGUUAUGGCUUUGUAGUUGUCUCUCCUUUGUCACGCUUGUGGUAUCGAACUUCCAUGUCGAGUGGCUGCAUUUUUGGUGUCGAACUUCGUGUCAGGUGGCUAUCUUUUGUGGUCUUAUGAACGCACUGAAACCAAUUCUACCUUAUAAUCUCAAGCCGACGCUGAGCCCAUGCCUUGCUUCUAUAAUAGUUGAAUGUUUCUUCUUCACUUUAUUGUUAUUAUGUAUGAAUGCAUAUGCUAAAUUUGGGUUACUACUGACUUAGCAUUACAUGCCUGAUCAAAACGUUGGGACCGGCACCCCCGCGCCAAGGCGCGAUCCUGGUCUAGUGGAUGAUAUAGUCGAAUGAAUGAAUGCCUCCAGUAGGCAACACCUGCUCACACACUUGCUCAAUGCAGAACUCUAGUAUCCUAUUGACAACCAACGCUUUUAAUCCAAUGAGCUAUUGGCGGGUGCGCCAUCUACCUCUGCGUCGGUGCCCUAGGCGCCAUCACCUCCAUGGCCUCCUCUUCUUCCUCUGCCAGGUCACCAAGAACUGGAUCAAUCCUACUACGGUUUGUAGCAGCUGACUAUUGGCUGAGUGAUACGUCUCCAACGUAUCUAUAAUUUUUUAUUGUUCCAUACUGUUAUAUUAUCAUUCUUAGAUGUUUUACAAUCAUUUUAUAGCAACUUUAUAUUAUUUUUUGGGACUAACCUAUUGACAUAGUGCCGAGUGCCAGUUGCUAUUUUUGCUUGUUUUUUACUUCAUAGAAAAUCAAUACCAAACGGAGUCCAAACGCAGCGAAACUUUUUGAUGAUUUUUUCUGGACCAGAAGACACCUGUUGGGCCAAAGAAGUAUCAGAGGGGGCUUCGAAGGAAGCACAACCCACCUGNNNNNNNNNNNNNNNNNNNNNNNNNNNNNNNNNNNNNNNNNNNNNNNNNNNNNNNNNNNNNNNNNNNNNNNNNNNNNNNNNNNNNNNNNNNNNNNNNNNNNNNNNNNNNNNNNNNNNNNNNNNNNNNNNNNNNNNNNNNNNNNNNNNNNNNNNNNNNNNNNNNNNNNNNNNNNNNNNNNNNNNNNNNNNNNNNNNNNNNNNNNNNNNNNNNNNNNNNNNNNNNNNNNNNNNNNNNNNNNNNNNNNNNNNNNNNNNNNNNNNNNNNNNNNNNNNNNNNNNNNNNNNAGUUAGUAGCUAGAUGGCUUCCUCUCUCUCUUUUCAUUCUCAAUACAAUGGUCUCUUGGAGAUCUAUUUGAUGUAACUCUUUUUUGCUGUGUGUUUGUUGGGAUCCGAUGAACUUUGAGUUUAUGAUCAGAUCUAUGUUUUUAUCCAUGAAAGUUGUUUGAAUCUUUUGAUCUCUUAUAUGCAUGAUUAAUUAUAACCUCGUAUUUCUUCUUCAAAUCUUUGGUUUAGUUAGGCUGACUAGAUCGAUUUUUCUUGCCAUGGGAAGAGGUGCUUUGUGAUGGGUUUGAUCUUACGAUGCUCAGUCCCAGUGACAGAAGGGGAAAUGACACGUAUGUAUCAUUGCUAUUAAGGAUAAAAAGAUGGGGUCUAUUCCUACAUGAAUAGAUAUUGUCUACAUCACGUCAUCGUUCUUAUUGCAUUACUCCGUUUUUCCAUGAACUUAAUACACUAGAUGCAUGCUGGAUAGCGGUCGAUGUGUGGAGUAAUAGUAGUAGAUGCAGGCAGGAGUCGGUCUACUAAUCUUGGACGUGAUGCCUAUAUAAUGAUCAUUGCCUGGAUAUCAUCAUAAUUAUUUGUAGUUCUAUCAAUUGCCCAAAAGUAAAUUGUUUUCCCACUGUAUACUAUUUUUCUCGAGAGAAGCCACUAGUGAAAUCUAUGGCACCCGGGUCUAUUUUCUCAUCAUAUAUUUUCAGAUCUAUUUUGCUAUUUGCCUUUUCGUUUAUUUGCCGCUUUUAUUUUCAGAUCUGUAUUAUCAAAAACCCAAAAAUACCUCGCUGAAUUUUAUUUGCAUCUAUCAAUCUACUACAAUUUUAUCACGUCCACUUGACAAUUUUUGGCACCGUUACCCGAAAGGGAUUAACAACCCCUUUAACACGUCGGGUUGCAAGUAUUUGUUCUUUGUGUGUAGGUACCAUUUACAUAGUGUUGUCUGGUUCUCCAACUAGUUCGAUAACCUUGAUCUCAUCACUGAGGGAAAUACUUACCGUUGUUGUGAUGCAUCAUCCCUUCCUCUUUGGGGAAAUAUCGACGUAGUUCAAGCCGCAUCACUGAGUAAACUAGGUAGUGGAUGGGACUGCUGGGAGGGGUGGAGGUUUUAUUAACAACGCUUGGGUGGCUGGGGUAGCUUUUGGGUUUUAAUACAGGACCAAACUAAACAACCCAAGUAUACAACCCAUUUGGCUAUAUACCAACUCAUAACUCAACACAUCACAACAUUACAAAAUCAGUAAAUCAUACAUGCCAUCAGAAAAUUACUAAAGCAAAUUAUAUGCAUCAAAAUAUCGCACAACAACCCAUACAUUGCAUCGGUUGAUCACACCAACCCAUACAUAGAAGUAGGUGGUUCAAUAGUGGUAGCAUAAGAAGUCCAGUAACAUACAAUUCAUAAAUGUACCUAAGAUCACGCAGUUCAUAACUUAAGGUAGCAAACCUUAACUAAAGCAUGGAGGUCCUUACAGGUAACAACACAGCAUAACUUACCAGUUCUAAUAGCAUAUCACCAAAUAUACACCUCCCACCAUGAUUGCUUGCAUCUGCGUUGGUAUUUCCUUGAAGAGGAGAGGAUGAUGCAGCACAACAACGAUAAGUAUUUCCCUCAGUUAUGAAACCAAGGUAUCAAUCCAGUAGGAGGAUCCACCAAACUAUGUACGCACUACCUUCGCACAAAUGAGAAAAACUUGCAACCCUACGCGUAAGAGGGGUUGUCAAUCCCUCCUCGGUAUUGAGAUAGAUUAAAUUGUAUGAGAUUGGAUAAAUAGAUCUAACAAAAACACAAAAUAAAAUAGGUAAAGAAAAGUGCAGCAAGGUAUUUUUGGAUUUUUUUAAUUAAUAGAUCUAAAAACGAUAUGAUAGAAAAUAGACCCGGGGGCCAUAGAUUUCAGUAGAGGCUUCUCUCGAGAAAUUAGCAUGCGAUGGGUAAACAAAUCACUGUUGGGCAGUUGAUAGAAAAGUAAAUAAUUAUGAAAAUAUCCAAGGCAAUGUUCAUGUAUAUAGGCACACAUCCAAGAUUAGUAGACCGACUCCUGCCUGCAUCUACUACUAUUAACCCCACACAUCGACCGAUAUCCAGCAUGCAUCUAGUGUAUUAAGUUCAUGGGAAAAUGGAGUAAUACAAUAAGAACGAUGGUAUGAUGUAGACAGGAUCUAUUCAUGUAGGAAUAGACCCCAUCUUUCUAUCCUUAAUGGCAACGAUACAUGUGUGUCAUGUCUCUUUCUGUCACUGAGGUUGAGCACCGCAAGAUCGAACCCAUCACAAAGCACAUCUUCCCAUGGCAAGAAAAAUCAAUCUAGUUGGCCAAACCAAACGAAAGUUUCGGGAGAGGAAUACAAGGCUAUAACAAUCAUGCAUAUAAUAGUUCAACAAAGACUCGAAUAUAUUCAUAGAUAGAUCUGAUCAUAAACUCAAAAUUCAUCAGAUCCCAACAAACACACCGUAAAAAAGAGUUACAUCAAAUAGAUCUCCAAGAACAUCAAGGAACAUUGUAUUGAAGAUUAAAAAGAGAGAAGAAUUCAUCUAGCUACUGUCUAUGGACCCGUAGAUCUGUGGUAAAAUACUCACGCAUCAUCGGAGGGGCAAGGGUGAUGAUUAAGAACCCCUCCGGCAAGGUGUCAAAAAAUGCCUCUAGAUUAGAUAUCGUGGUUCUAGAACUUGCGGAGGUGGAAACUCUGAUUUCUCGACUCCCCAGGGUUUCUGGAAUAUUUGGGUAUUUAUAUAGCUAAGAGGCGGUGGAGGAGACACUCGUGGGCCCCACUACCCACCAGUGCGCGCUAAGGGUCUCUGGUUCACCCUGGUGCCUAGCGGGCCCCACGGGCUUCCUCUGGUGCAACUCUUAGGCCUCCUGAGUGUCUUCUAGGCAGAAAAAUAUCUCCAAAAAGUUUCGCUGCAUUUGGACUCCGUUUCAUAUGGAUAUUCUGCGUAGUAAAAUACAAGCAAAAAAUGUCAAUUGGCACUGGCACUAUGUCAAUAGGUUAGUCCCAAAAAAUGAUAGAAAGUUGCUAUAAAAUGAAUAUAAAACAUCCCGAUAGUAUAACAUCAUGGAACAAUAAAAAAUUAUAGAUACAUUGGUGACGUAUCAGCAACCCCAAGCUUAGUUCCUGCUCGUCCUCGCGUAGGUAAAUGAUAAAAACAGAAUUUUUCAUGUGGAAUGCUGCCUAACAUGUUCUUCUCUUAUAUUUUUUUUCUUUUGUAGCAUGGACAUUUGGACUUUUAGAUGAUUCAAAUCAAUAGUCUAUAUUUGACAUGAGGACAUCAAUACUCAAGCAUAUAAACAAGCAACCAUAUCUUUCAAAAUAUCAACACUAAAGAAAGCUAUCCCUAACCCAUUAUGCUCAAUCAUUGAUCCAUUCAUGAAGCACAUUCAAAUAUUAACUAUGCCCAAUGCACAAGUAUGACAAUAGUGUUCCCUAGUUGGUGAUUUAUAAGAGAAGAUGGAGACUCAAUAAAAAUCAAAAUUGCAUAAAUUAAAUGUCACGACCGGUUUUUCAAAAAAAAACUUAUUGAGAAACCGACCUUUAUAUAGACCAGUAUAGGAAAAUCCUCCUUACUGGUAGACAAAUCCUUGAUACUGAAAUCCAGUAGUACUAAAUAUUAUACAGGGUUGAGCUGAGGUAGCUCAACAAUUUAUUACAAGCACGCCAAUAUUAUACAUAAGGGCGGAUAUGACACAAGGGUGUGGUGGCAUACUACUGACUCGUAAUAAAAGUGGUGGUGGAUAUGUCACAGUGAAGCGGAUGACAUGACUCCUAAUCCUGCAACUCAUCGAGCGUCGAAGUGAGGCUCGAUGAUUUUAUUUGGGUACCGGAAGCGUAUGUCAUACAAGUGACCAAAUCCAGGAUCGCACGGGACUGACUGGCACUCCUCUAGGCGUCGGACUCGCUAUCGUACUCUUCAUGCAUGAGAUCGCCUUCGUCAACAUCUGGCCAAAUCAACAAGCCAGGUGAGUACUUUGAAUGUACUCGCAAGACAGUUCGGACAUAAGAUAUAACAAAUGUAACAUGAUGCACAGGAGCGGUUAGCAAUGCACACUCAAAUAUAAAAUUUGCACGACAUGUUAAAUAAAUAGGAAGCCAGGCGGUAGUCCUCCCGAAAUCCCAACAAAAUAACUGAGAACCGAUCGGGUGUCUGAAGCGACGCCUCGAAAGGUAAAAAUAAAUUAACAUGCCGCAGUCGGGCGUCUGAGCGACACCACAUAAAGGGCUUAUAUUGAAAUGUAAAUGACAGUGCGUGCCACAGUCGGACGUCUACGCGACAUCUCAGAAAGGGCUUAUAAUGAAAAUAAAUAACAAUGAUGCCAUAGUCGGACGUCUACGCGACAUCUCGGAAAGGGCUUAUAAUGAAAAUAAAUAACAGUGAUGCCACAGUCGGACGUCUACACGACAUCUCGGAAAGGGCUUAUAAUGAAAAUAAAUUUCAGUGAUGCCACAGUCGGACGUCUGAGCGACAUCACAGAAAGGGCUUAUAUUUCGUCAUUCAUAUUCAAUAAAUUCAUGAAGAUAAUUCACUCAAAGGAAAUACUCAGUACAUAAUAAUAAAAGGGUUAUUCCAUCCACAGGAGAAUUAUUUAGCCGGGCUUAACACUCAUGUUUGUUCACCGGAGAUUUGUCACUUGAGGCUGACACUGAGACUGACAAAGAUAAGUUGAACACAGUCCUUGACCAUAGACAAGGUUACUCGAAUGAUUUUGACUCUGCAGAGUUUGCACUAUUUAACCAUAGCCAACGGAUUUCAGUAGUCACGAAGGACUAGUUCCGUUUACGGUAUUUCGAUAGAAACACAUCUAACCAUUACACACCCAUUCCACCUCACGAUGCCAGGAAUCACCCUAGGCAACGUUCAAGAAAAACUUUGAGACGGGGAGGCCAAAACCUCAAAUAGCAUGGGAUCAAAUUUAUAUUCGCGCGCUCUAAGGGGUGCCCCCCUCUCGGUCCCAACCAGAAACACCCAUGCCCCCUGACCAGAUGACUGGCUUUUAAUCCAGGGCCAUGGAACCCUCAUCACGGCCUCUCUAUUUGGUGUGUACGAGGCAAGAGGUUUGCAACUUACUAAACCAUAUUCUUUGCAGAAAACAUGUGGUAGCACAAAAAGAAAUGGAUGGUAACGUGACUUGAUCCACGUUGACACUAGAGUUAAAUGGUUUGGCAUAAGACUGGCAUGCUUCAACACUGCCAUCUUACCACCUCUCAUGUCACCACCUGAUCACGUAAACUCACAUAAAAUAACAUAUGGAGUUUCGAAGCUAACUUGCAUUAGCUUUGCAUGCAAUAUAACACUUACUGCAAUGCAUAUAAACAUGCCAUGAACUAACUACUCAAUGCAAACAUGCAAAACACUCAUCAUAUCAAAGGUUCAAACAUGCUUGCCUGGUUCGAAGUAGUCGGAGUCUAGAUCGGUGAAGUUCAUGGUUCCAUCACCUCCUCCGGUAUCUACGGUAUAAAGAAAAUACGCACUAACGUAAAUACCGUGUGUGCACAAAAAGUGUUCCAAAUAUGUCACAGCCCUAGAAUUUGCUUGUCAUUAGUUGCAUUAAGGCAUUCAUGCAUCAUGUUUAAAAUUCAUGAAACUUGAAAUGGGGAUGACAAACCCUAGCACUUGAUAAAAUGCAAUUAGGAUCAAAAUAAAAAUAUUUUCAAUAAACCCAGAAUGCCCUUUAGAAAAGUUCAUUAUUUUUGUUAAAGGUGAAAACCCCUGCCAUCAAUGAUGCACAUAUUUCUAGGCCAUUCUGGAUUUUUGAAUUAAAUCCUAUUGUAUUUGACCUUGGGCAUUUAAAUACUAUAAAUAAUUUAAAUGUUCAAAUAAAUGUUGGAAAUUGUUAAGGGUCACUGAAAUAAUUCAGAAAGCACCCAUAAUUGUUUCCAGGAUUUUAUAAAAUGAUUUGAUAUUUUAAAUCAAAUCAAAACAAACUACAGAAAAUAGAAAACAGAAUUAAAUAGAAAUAAGAGAGAGAGAGAAGGACUUAUCUGGCGCUCACCCGGUAGCCAGCCGGCCCAGCUCCUGUGCGGCCCAGCCCAUCUCCACUCCCCCCCCCCUGUCGUCUUCCUCCUCGCCAGAAGGACCGAGGCGUGGCGCGCGCGCCCGAGAGCCCCGGCCACCUCCUGCUUACCUGCUCGCCGCUGGAGGCACCUAAGGGUGCCACGCACUCCCCUCGACCCUCUCCUACUCUCCCCGUGCCCCUCUCGCUCUCCCUCGCCCUCAUCCUCUCCCCCUCCUCUGUCCUCCUCACCCGAACGGAGCCGCCGCCACCGACGAGAACCACCGUGGCCACCGGCCACCCCACGCCUCACCGACGCCCCAGGAAGCUCUGCCUCGACCUACUCAUCCUCCCCACCACUCCAAGCAACACAAGGAGCCCUGCAGUGACGCCAUCGCCGCCAUCCUCACCGACGGGCAUCGAAGAUCGCCGGCCCGAUUCUCCGUCUCCAGGUCGCCCCCGAGCCCACUGAGACGCGCUCUGCAACCACAGUGAGCUCAUGGACCGAUUCCCCCUCCUCUCCUGCUCGCGUUCUUGCUCUAGCCCCGUUCCCCACCUCCGCCGAAGCUCGCCGCCGCCACGGCCGACGAGCUCCAUGCUCCUGAGCUCGUCCGCUCGCCCGAGCAUCACCAGCGUGCUCGCCGCGCUCCUGUGAACCUGCAGCACCCACGGGUUAUCCCUGUUGUGCACCGUAGCACCGUUUCCGCCAACGCCCGAGGUCCGGCAGCCGCUGAGCUCGACGCCGGCGAGGAUUACGGCCACCCCAGCUCGCCCCGGUUGCGCUGUUGGAUGCGCGGGAUCGCCAGCUUCCCGUAGAGCCCAGCGGCGCCUCGAAUGGCUCCCUGUAUCGCAAUUCCGAGCCGCCCCNNNNNNNNNNNNNNNNNNNNNNNNNNNNNNNNNNNNNNNNNNNNNNNNNNNNNNNNNNNNNNNNNNNNNNNNNNNNNNNNNNNNNNNNNNNNNNNNNNNNNNNNNNNNNNNNNNNNNNNNNNNNNNNNNNNNNNNNNNNNNNNNNNNNNNNNNNNNNNNNNNNNNNNNNNNNNNNNNNNNNNNNNNNNNNNNNNNNNNNNNNNNNNNNNNNNNNNNNNNNNNNNNNNNNNNNNNNNNNNNNNNNNNNNNNNNNNNNNNNNNNNNNNNNNNNNNNNNNNNNNNNNNNNNNNNNNNNNNNNCCCCCCCCCCCUGACGUGUGGGCCCAGGCGCCUGCUUAAUUAGUGUUAGGUUAGUUAGUGUUAAUUAACUUAGUUAAUUAGGUGAGCCACUGACAUGCGGGCCCCGCCCGUCUAACUAAGUUAGUUAGGGCUAAUCAUAUUUAGGUUAGUCACUGACCAGUGGGCCCAAUCCAGUUAGUUAGGGCUAACUAACUUGGUUAGUUGACUGGGUCACUGACCAGUGGGUCCCACUGGUCAGGUUUGACCUGGUCGACGCCUUUGACCUGCUGACGUCACCCCGGCAUCAUGCUGACGCAGUAUAUGCUUCUGGGAUUUUAAAUAAGUCAGAAAUGAUUUAUUUAUUUUCAGAAUAUGCCCUAAACUUCAAUAAAUCAUAGAAAAUUAACCGUAACUCCAAAUGAAAUAAAUUAUAUAUGAAAAAUUAUCAGAAAAAUUCAAGGAAUCCAUCUGUACCAUUUUCAUGCAUGUUAGAACAACUUAUAGAUGCUUUUUAGCACAAAUCAUAUAAAGGGCAUUUAAAUAAUCACAUAUGGAGUUUGAAUUUGAAUCUUGUAUUCAAACCAACUUCAUUUAAAUUGUUGCUAGAUGCAUUAGCCCAAAACACAUUCAUCUUGCCAUGUCAUGAGCAUGCAUCAUAUUGUGCAUUGCAUUGAUUGUAUUUCUUCUUUGUUGCCGGUAUCUGUUCCCCCCGGUAGACGAUGUUCCGACGUUGUGAUCGUUGACACUAAUGAAGACUCAAUGUUAUCUUCAGAAGUGCCAGGCAAGCAAAACACCCUUGUUCAUUCCGAUAAAAUCCCACUCUCUCGCUCCUGCUCUCUUUUAAUGCAUUAGGACAACAACGAUUCAACUGUUACUUGCUGUGGUAGCUGAACCCCUUUAUCCUUUGCAUGACCUGUCAUUGCCACAGUAAAUAGAUGAAACCCACUAGCAUGAGUAGGAGUUGUUUGAGCCCUGUUGUGCCUACUCAUUCUUGCUUGUUUGUCAUGCCUGCUACUGCUUAGAGUUGUGUCAGGUCUGAUUUAUCCGGGAUGAAUCAGAGGUGUGUGAACAUGUCCUACUGUGUGUGAGCUAAGUGUGUGAACACGAUUUGGUAAAAGGUGUCGGUGAGAGGCCAUGUAGGAGUACAUGGUGGGUUGUCUCAUUGAAGCCGUCCUUAGGAACUGAGUUCUGUGUUUGUGAUCCAUGAUUCAGCUACUACCAUACAUUGGGCCCUGAAAUAUGACCCCGCUCGACUUCUUAUUCACCCUCGUCCUCUGUCUAGGAGUUGCAAGUAGUUUCUGGUGUUUGUAGUAUGCUGGAGGCCGUGGACAGCGCUGAUCGGAGGGGUGGGCUGUGAUGCGGUAGGCACGUGGCCGGGUAUACCGGGCGCCCGUUUGGUGUCACGGAACCCUGUUCACAUCGUUUGGGGCUGUGAGCGAAACUCCGGCCGGAUCUCCUCAUGGAUGGAACCCGAAUAGGCGAUAAACCUAGACUAGAGAUUUGAGUGUUUAGGUAGGUCGUGUUCUACACCCACGUCGGCUUUCGCUUGAAGUCUGCCGAGCACAUGUCGUGUGCAGACGCUAAGUGGUGGAAACAUGUAUGAAGAAGUACACCCCUGCAGGGUUAACAUCAUCUAUUCGAAUAGCCGUGUCCACGGUAAAGGACUUCUGGUUUGCUUAUAUCAGUUCAUAGACAAGUGAAAGUGGAUACUCUAAAAUACGCAAGAUAAGCGUGAGUGCUAUGGAUGGCGUUCUCGUAGGGAGACGGGAGUGGAUCCAUAGUGGUGUAUUGAUAUGGUGAAUAUGUGGACUCGUGUGCGCCACCUCAAAAGAGUUACAUUGCAGUCGUAGUUCAGGAUAGCCACUGAGUCAAAGCUGGCUUGCUGCAGUUAAACCCCACCAUCCCCUUUGUUGAUAAUGAUGCAUAUGUAGUUAGUUCUGAUGUAAGUCUUGCUGGGUACAUUUGUACUCACAUUUGCCUAUUUUAUGUUUUUGCAGAGAGACUUCGGUCUCACUAGUAGUUUCGCGUGGACUUCGACGUUUAGCUUGUUACCUCAGCUACGAUCUUGUGCCCCGGCAGGAUCUGGUAGAUAGUCAGGCUUCUCAGCCUUUUUUAGUUAUAGAUGUCUGUACCCAGACAUGAUAGCUUCCGCUUGUGCUUUGAUUUGUAUGCUCUGAUUGUUGGGUCAUGAGACCCAUGUUUGUAAUAUCUCGCUCCUCGGAGCCUAUUGAAUAAAUUACUUGAGUCGUAGAGUCAUGUUGUGAUGCCAUGUUGUAUUUGCACAUAUCGUGCAUAUUGUGUGUAUGUUAUUGAAAUGCUUGGUAUGUGUGGGAUCUGACCAUCUAGUUGUUUAUCUUUAGUAGCCUCUCUUACGGGGAAAUGUCUCCUAGUGUUCCACCGAGCCAUGGUAGCUUGCUACUGCUCCGGAACACUUAGGCUGGCCGGCAUGUGUCCUUCUUCGUUCCUGUGUCUGUCCCUUCGGGGAAAUGUCACGCGAUGAAUACCGGAGUCCUGUUAGCCCGCUACAGCCCGGUUCACCGGAGUCCUGCUAGCCCAGUGCUACAGCCUGGAUUCACUCGCUGAUGACCGACACGUUCGAUGCUGGGUCAUGGAUGCCUGUCCCUGUAAGUCUGUGCCACUUUGGGUUUACGACUAGCCAUGUCAGCCCGGGCUCCUUAUCAUAUGGAUGCUAGCGACACUGUCAUAUACGUGUGCCAAAAGGCGCAAACGGUCCCGGGCAAAGGUAAGGCGACACCCGUGGGAAUACCGUGCGUGAGGCCGCAAAGUGAUAUGAGGUGUUACAUGCUAGAUCGAUGUGGCAUUGAGUCGGGGUCCUGACAGCGUUGGUAUCAGAGCUUGACUGCCUGUAGGAUUACCAAGCCAAACUGGUCGAAGUUGAGUCUAGAAAUUCUUUAGUUAUAUAAGGGAAUUGAUUGUGGGAUGGAACGUAAGGCUCUUUUACUCCUUAUACCUUAUGCCCUUCUAAUCUGAGUCAUCUUAUCUUCCUGCGGGGUUAAGGAACUAGGCCAUCUCUUCUUUCUAUCAGGAUCACGCGUUACUAAUCCGUAGACUUAUAAGAUUGUUGGAUUUAAGCUUAAGUUCAGUUCCUACGACUUCUGUAUGUUAACUGUUGAUCUCGGAACCUUGAUAUUGUGCUUCUGAGUGGCUAUGCCACCAUUUUUGUAGCAUGUCUCCAAUCUUUUGAGCAUUUACAGCCGUUAUGCUGUCCGAGUCAUCCCAGGUUUCUAAAUAGUCGGAUGCAAUUGCAAAUCCCUUCCUCCUGUUUCCGAUGUGCCUUUGGUCAGAUUAAUCACACAAAUCAGUGAGUUGAGGUACUUUAUUGCCUUGACAUAUAUGUUGGAGCUACUAUUAUGACACUAGGUGUUUUAGGGAGUCACCUAGUAAUCUAGCAAUGUUUUGUGUUCCCAGUGUGAAGAUUCUGGCCAUCAUUCUCGUAAGCAUCCCGUGAUGCCACUUAGUUAGUAGGCAUUUCACUUCUGGGUUUUCGACCCGAGAUUCACUCUACCUACUUCAUGUUGAUAGUAAUUGCUAGUGCCUUUAGGAUAUUAGUAACCUUUGCGAUAGUCCUUGAAGUCCGUGGUAUCUUCUUCUUCCAAAUACCAUGAACUACUUAUGGCAGAAGUUGCUCGUUGAACUGAAAUAUCACAACAGGAUUAUUCUUGAGGAGUUCUCCAUUCAUAAAUCGUGACUCUGCCGGUUCUACCUUUCUGCAUGGGUUAUCCGGAAAAAAUACGUUGAACUUGGUUCGACAUACUAAUCUAUGCAUCCACAACUCGGAAAAUUAUAUGUUCCUUUGAGUUGUUCUCUUUAGUUGCAUUCUGACCCUCGUCUAUUAAUUGAUAGUCAAGAGUAUGUGUGCGUUCGUUUAUCGAUGCCUAUUACUCUUGUGGUCCGUCAAGCCAUUAUCGUAGAAUGAUAGGAGAAACAAACUCCAGUACCUCUUCCAUAUCCAGGAUUGGGUCAAAGAAGUUGUGCUCCACAGAACAAAUUGCAAUCCAGCUUUUGUUCUGUUCUACUUUGAAGUGUUACCCUCUUUAUGUCCGGAUUGUCAUGAGAACUGCACCAACUCUCAUGAAUUUUGACGUAGUGAUACUUCUCACCAUCAUUAGUCAUUCCUCGGUCUUCGUGUUGAUGCAACCGGAAUACCGACAGAAGAAUUGUGAUGUGUGAAAUCAAUACUCCUAGCAACCUCGUUGCUUGGUAGUUAAAGGACAAUAAUUUCAUUCUUAGCGUGUUGGUUAUUGAAUCAUCCUUCUAAGACUGAUCGUGCUACCUAGUCCAUUUUCCUGGUGCACUCCUCGAUUGAUGAGAUAGGAUUUUGUUAAGUCCUCGCUCAUUUGGUCAUAUCGUCUUGCCCUGAAAAGCAAGAUUGUUCUCGAUCUUAGUAACAUAUCGGUGGUUCGUGAUUUUCCGAAUAUCUUCUCGAAAGUAUCACCAGGUUGUCACCUGACUGUUAUGUUAAGCUCGAGAUCAAGUUGGUUUAUCCUGUGAACCACCCUUCUCCAAGAAUCUGUGUUGGAUAUCCCUGAGCUAGUUGGUUAAGCUAGACAACAACUUGGAGGGUUGGAAGAUAAAAGCUUGCCUGACUUAGUUCGUCCCAAAGGGAUAUUCUUGUGUAGUGUGUGUUGAAGAAAGAUGAUAUCUUCAUCGAUUGGUCCCUGUGAUCAGUUGCUGGACCUAUUGUCUUAUCAAUCCUUUGAUUGAGUGUGGGCUAUCGUCAAAUCAAAUCAGUACCAACGAUUCUCGUAAUGUUGUCUUAUUCGUGGUUGAUCCCUCGAGCAUACACCAUUACAUCUUUGGUCUGACCAAUGCUAUCACCGUGUUCACUUAACUAUGGAAUUCCUUUUAAAAGGAAACCUAGAUGAAUUGUUGUUGAGCCCAUUGGCAACAUCCUUAUCUCCUCCAUGAUGUUGUUAAACAUUAAGCUAGUGUUGGAAACUUUGAAAGCAUUUUCUUCAUGCUAGCUCAUGAAGUAUUUGUUUGAUGAAAGGAGUGACUUCCUCUUAUACACGUGCAUUUGGUGAAAGUUGCCGCCGUGAAUUCGAGAAAGAUUGUUUUGUUUCCUUUGGAAUCAUCCCCAAAUCAGUCAUGCACACGUGCGAAGUAUUCUGUAGUCUGGAGGCUUGCAACCUUCAUUCUAUAUGUGUCCCUAGCACACUAAGCCACUGAUUGACUUGUUCAAGGAAAAGAAAUCUAUGCUUGGGAUCUAAUCCAUGGACUUGCGUAAAGACUUCGAUAUCCUCGAUGAUGGUUCUCCACCUGAACUCGGUAGUGUUUUAUUGUAAGACUACCACGUGGUCAUGCUUGUCUAGGACAUCGUGUUCACAUGUUGUAGCAGAACCAGCUCAUGUUUUGGAGCUUACUAUCGUAGUUCAUUCCCCGAGAAUCUCGCAACGUCAUCUCGUCGAUGUGUGUUGCAAACUUUCAUUUUUCUUCCUAGACUCGAUGAGUCUGGAAUAUCCUGACACCAACCAGAUCUGAAUCUCAGGCAGAUAUGAUGGUUUGGAACAUUUCCCAAGAACUAUAAUAUUGGUCCCUCGAUAACCGGUAAAGUGGAUGUCGUGGCCAACACACCCAGCCGGAAGACCUAUUAUUGUAGUAUCUUGUUUGAGGAAGUUGGCCACCUCCCCAUAAGGAUUUCGUAGGAUUUACCUCCGUAACUGUUCCUUAUGGAUUCUGUUGCUCCCGAAGUCCGACCUUUACUUGAUGUUCUAGUUAUCAAACCAUAUCUAUGAAUGGGUUACACUAGCACGUCAAGGAGAACAUUAGAAGCGGAGUGCUAAAUGUCUCUCGGUCGAUCAUCCAGAUUUUAUUUCCUUGGCCCCGCCAAGGGUGAAAUCUGAGAAAGUGUUAUCCUCCUUUGCAUCUGCAUCGUCCAUCGCUAUUCAUCAUGGUAGUAUGUUGUGUUGUCAGCACCCUUGACACGGAUGUUGAUAAAACCUUGAUGAUUGUGGAAAUGCUCAAGUUCUUGAGAGCACGUACAAGCGCUACGUGUUAUCAUCGACGCUAACUGGGAUUCCUCUCAGUUUCCUCGGCAAUGCUAUGACCUUUUCAACCAGUGAAUUAACUCUCUAGUGUUGGGUUCUUCCCCAGUUACCAGAAUCAUUCCCAGCAUUUGCAUUUUGUUCCCAGCUUGCACCGCCAAUGUGCCAUUCUACCAUGGGUCUCUUCCAUUUUCGGUGGUAAGCAAAUUCAUCCAUUACGUUGUCUUCAACAAGGUAAUCCACAUCAUCCAAGUCCGAGUAUGCCAUUCUACCGACCCCCCCCCCAAACGAUCGGUCGAGAAUUGCCUUAGGUUGGUUUAAAGAGUCUCAAUGAUCUCUGAAUCAAAGGUAAUUCUUUUUGCCACUUAAGGGGAUAUUUCUAUGAGUCACCUUCCCUAAGGUGCAUCGUUAUGGUAUUAUGGAAACUCAACUCCUCGCUACGUUGACAACCGUUCACCACCCUCUUAGGUGUGGAAUUGUGGUCUACCUAGUGAACCUUCGUCAUCUGCUUCACUCCAUUCCUAUGGAUGUGUGCUUCGCCUCUCAGCUCGAGAGAUGUUGCUAUGUCUCAUUCCGUGAGUUAAUCCUGAGUUGUUCGACCUUCGAGAAGAACCAUUCUUUUAGGGUCUUUCCUUUCCUCUCGUUGUCAUGUUAGCUGGAGUUCACAGAGCAAGACUUCGAGACAAUGAUGGUGGACGAAUCAACGUCCAUUUGAAGUGCAACUGGAUCGUGAAGAUUGUGCUAGUUUGCGUUCCCCCUUCACCUUACCCUAUGCUUGAAUCUCGGGACGAGAUUUUUGUUUAGUGGGGGUGAGUUGUCACAGCCCUAGAAUUUGCUUGUCAUUAGUUGCAUUAAGGCAUUCAUGCAUCAUGUUUAAAAUUCAUGAAACUUGAAAUGGGGAUGACAAACCCUAGCACUAGAUAAAAUGCAAUUAGGAUCAAAAUAAAAAUAUUUUCAAUAAACCCAGAAUGCCCUUUAGAAAAGUUCAUUAUUUUUGUUAAAGGUGAAAACCCCUGCCAUUAAUGAUGCACAUAUUUCUAGGCCAUUCUGGAUUUUUGAAUUAAAUCCUAUUGUAUUUGACCUUGGGCAUUUAAAUACUAUAAAUAAUUUAAAUGUUCAAAUAAAUGUUGGAAAUUGUUAAGGGUCACUGAAAUAAUUCAGAAAGCACCCAUAAUUGUUUCCAGGAUUUUAUAAAAUGAUCUGAUAUUUUAAAUCAAAUCAAAACAAACUACAGAAAAUAGAAAACAGAAUUAAAUAGAAAUAAGAGAGAGAGAGAAGGACUUAUCUGGCGCUCACCCGGUAGCCAGCCGGCCCAGCUCCUGUGCGGCCCAGCCCAUCUCCACUUCCCCCCCCCUGUCGUCUUCCUCCUCGCCAGAAGGACCGAGGCGUGGCGCGUGCGCCCGAGAGCCCCGGCCACCUCCUGCUUACCUGCUCGCCGCUGGAGGCACCUGAGGGUGCCACGCACUCCCCUCGACCCUCUCCUACUCUCCCCGUGCCCCUCUCGCUCUCCCUCGCCCUCAUCCUCUCCCCCUCCUCUGUCCUCCUCACCCGAACAGAGCCGCCGCCACCGACGAGAACCACCGUGGCCACCGGCCACCCCACGCCUCACCGACGCCCCAGGAAGCUCUGCCUCGACCUACUCAUCCUCCCCACCACUCCAAGCAACACCAGGAGCCCUGCAGUGACGCCAUCGCCGCCAUCUUCACCGACGGGCAUCGAAGAUCGCCGGCCCGAUUCUCCGUCUCCAGGUCGCCCCCGAGCCCACUGAGACGCGCUCUGCAACCACAGUGAGCUCAUGGACCGAUUCCCCCUCCUCUCCUGCUCGCGUUCUUGCUCUAGCCCCGUUCCCCACCUCCGCCGAAGCUCGCCGCCGCCACGGCCGACGAGCUCCAUGCUCCUGAGCUCGUCCGCUCGCCCGAGCAUCACCAGCGUGCUCGUCGCGCUCCUGUGAACCUGCAGCACCCACGGGUUCUCCCUGUUGUGCACGGUAGCACCGUUUCCGCCAACGCCCGAGGUCCGGCAGCCGCUGAGCUUGACGCCGGCGAGGAUUACGGCCACCCCAGCUCGCCCCGGUUGCGCUGUUGGAUGCGCGGGAUCGCCAGCUUCCCGUAGAGCCCAGCGGCGCCUCGAAUGGCUCCCUGUAUCGCAAUUCCGAGCCGCCCCGCCGCUACUGUCGUCGCCGGCGGGUUUGACCUGAUCGGCCCAGGGGUUGACCCCCCCCCCUGACGUGUGGGCCCAGGCGCCUGCUUAAUUAGUGUUAGGUUAGUUAGUGUUAAUUAACUUAGUUAAUUAGGUGAGCCACUGACAUGCGGGCCCCGCCCGGCUAACUAAGUUAGUUAGGGCUAAUCAUAUUUAGGUUAGUCACUGACCAGUGGGCCCAAUCCAGUUAGUUAGGGCUAACUAACUUGGUUAGUUGACUGGGUCACUGACCAGUGGGUCCCACUGGUCAGGUUUGACCUGGUCGACGCCUUUGACCUGCUGACGUCACCCCGGCAUCAUGCUGACGCAGUAUAUGCUUCUGGGAUUUUAAAUAAGUCAGAAAUGAUUUAUUUAUUUUCAGAAUAUGCCCUAAACUUCAAUAAAUCAUGGAAAAUUAACCGUAACUACAAAUGAAAUAAAUUAUAUAUGAAAAAUUAUCAGAAAAAUUCAAGGAAUCCAUCUGUACCAUUUUCAUGCAUGUUAGAACAACUUAUAGAUGCUGUUUAGCACAAAUCAUAUAAAGGGCAUUUAAAUAAUCACAUAUGGAGUUUGAAUUUGAAUCUUGUAUUCAAACCAACUUCAUUUAAAUUGUUGCUAGAUGCAUUAGCCCAAAACACAUUCAUCUUGCCAUGUCAUGAGCAUGCAUCAUAUUGUGCAUUGCAUUGAUUGUAUUUCUUCUUUGUUGCCGGUAUCUGUUCCCCCCGGUAGACGAUGUUCCGACGUUGUGAUCGUUGACACUAAUGAAGACUCAAUGUUAUCUUCAGAAGUGCCAGGCAAGCAAAACACCCUUGUUCAUUCUGAUAAAAUCCCACUCUCUCGCUCCUGCUCUCUUUUAAUGCAUUAGGAUAACAACGAUUCAACUGUUACUUGUUGCGGUAGCUGAACCCCUUUAUCCUUUGCAUGACCUGUCAUUGCCACAGUAAAUAGAUGAAACCCACUAGCAUGAGUAGGAGUUGUUUGAGCCCUGUUGUGCCUACUCAUUCUUGCUUGUUUGUCAUGCCUGCUACUGCUUAGAGUUGUGUCAGGUCUGAUUUAUCCGGGAUGAAUCAGAGGUGUGUGAACAUGUCCUACUGUGUGAGCUAAGUGUGUGAACACGAUUUGGUAAAAGGUGUCGGUGAGAGGCCAUGUAGGAGUACAUGGUGGGUUGUCUCAUUGAAGCCGUCCUUAGGAACUGAGUUCUGUGUUUGUGAUCCAUGAUUCAGCUACUACCAUACAUUGGGCCCUGAAAUAUGACCCCGCUCGACUUCUUAUUCACCCUCGUCCUCUGUCCAGGAGUUGCAAGUAGUUUCUGGUGUUUGUAGUAUGCUGGAGGCCGUGGACAGCGCUGACCGGAGGGGUGGGCUGUGAUGCGGUAGGCACGUGGCCGGGUAUACCUGGCGCCCGUUUGGUGUCACGGAACCCUGUUCACAUCAUUUGGGGCUGUGAGCGAAACUCCGGCCGGAUCUCCUCAUGGAUGGAACCCGAAUAGGCAAUAAACCUGGACUAGAGACUUCAGUGUUUAGGUAGGUCGUGGUCUACACCCACGUCGGCUUUCGCUUGAAGUCUGCCGAGCACAUGUCGUGUGCAGACGCUAAGUGGUGGAAACAUGUAUGAAGAAGUACACCCCUGCAGGGUAAAGGACUUCUAGUUUGCUUAUAUCAGUUCAUAGACAAGUGAAAGUGGAUACUCUAAAAUACGCAAGAUAAGCGUGAGUGCUAUGGAUGGCGUUCUCGUAGGGAGACGGGAGCGGAUCCAUAGUGGUGUAUUGAUAUGGUGAAUAUGUGGACUCGUGUGCGCCACCUCAAAAGAGUUACAUUGCAGUCGUAGUUCAGGAUAGCCACCGAGUCAAAGCUGGCUUGCUGCAGUUAAACCCCACCAUCCCCUUUGUUGAUAAUGAUGCAUAUGUAGUUAGUUCUGAUGUAAGUCUUGCUGGGUACAUUUGUACUCACGUUUGCCUAUUUUAUGUUUUUGCAGAGAGACUUCGGUCUCACUAGUAGUUUCGCGUGGACUUCGACGUUUAGCUUGUUACCUCAGCUACGAUCUUGUGCCCCGGCAGGAUCUGGUAGAUAGUCAGGCUUCUCAGCCUUUUUCAGUUAUAGAUGUCUGUACCCAGACAUGAUAGCUUCCGCUUGUGCUUUUAUUUGUAUGCUCUGAUUGUUGGGUCAUGAGACCCAUGUUUGUAAUAUCUCGCUCCUCGGAGCCUAUUGAAUAAAUUACUUGAGUCGUAGAGUCAUGUUGUGAUGCCAUGUUGUAUUUGCACAUAUCGAGCAUAUUGUGUGUAUGUUAUUGAAAUGCUUGGUAUGUGUGGGAUCUGACAAUCUAGUUGUUUAUCUUUAGUAGCCUCUCUUAUGGGGAAAUGUCUCCUAGUGUUCCACCUUGCCAUGGUAGCUUGCUACUGCUCCGGAACACUUAGGCUGGCCGGCAUGUGUCCUUCUUCGUUCCUGUGUCUGUCCCUUCGGGGAAAUGUCACGCGAUGAAUACCGGAGUCCUGUUAGCCCGCUACAGCCCGGUUCACCGGAGUCCUGCUAGCCCAGUGCUACAGCCUGGAUUCACUCGCUGAUGACCGACACGUUCGAUGUUGGGUCAUGGAUGCCUGUCCCUGUAAGUCUGUGCCACUUUGGGUUUACGACUAGCCAUGUCAGCCCGGGCUCCUUAUCAUAUGGAUGCUAGCGACACUGUCAUAUACGUGUGCCAAAAGGCGCAAACGGUCCCGGGCAAAGGUAAGGCGACACCCGUGGGAAUACCGUGCGUGAGGCCGCAAAGUGAUAUGAGGUGUUACAUGCUAGAUCGAUGUGGCAUUGAGUCGGGGUCCUGACAAAAUAUUUUUAAAAUAAAUCAGAUAAAAAAACUAGACAGAAAAAUAAAGAUGACAAAAAAAGAAUCAAUCAAAAAUCAUUUUCGGUUUAGGAGUUAUUAAAGUUUUGGCCCAGGGACUUGUCUGUAAUGAAACAGAAAGUUUCCAGGGGCUAGCUUAUAAAAACAGAAAACGAUUCGAUUAAAACCCGCCAACUCCAAAGGAAAAACGUAUCCUGCCUGAAGGCGUUUCCAAAAAACGGUUCGAAUAUAAAAGAGAGGCUGGCGAGGGGGUCCAACUCGUUAGGUUUAAAAGUUUGAGAGAGAAAACAGAGUGCGCCGGUGCCCGAAGCUUGCGAUGGUCGUCGGUGACGAUCCACGGUGAGUUAGGAGGAGCGGAGCGUACCUACGGACUCAGGGUGCUCUUCCGCGUCUGUGGGUGGUGGAGUUGGUCGUUGGCGAGCCCCACGUCGAUGGCGGCCUUCACUCCGGCGGACGAUGGCUCGGGUGUCGGUGGAUCUCGCCGAGAAGGGCUGCAAGUUUUAAAUUGGGGCGUGGGUUAGUGGAGUGGGUGCACUAGGAUGCCACUGGUACAACGUGAGAGGCGGGGGUGCACGCACUCGAGCUAACCUUGCUAGAGCCCGAAGUGGAUCGGGGCGGCCGGAGUCGGAGGAGAAGGCCUCCUCGGGGUCCACCUAGUUGUCGAGCGCAGUCCUGGAGAGGUGGAGGGAGUGGUGCUGGUCGAAGGCGAGCUCGGGGUGGCUAUUUAUAGCCGGCCCGAGGCGGUUGCCGAGAACGGGAUAGCUCCGACGGUGAUUACGGCGAGGCAGUGGCCGGACGGGGGUUUUAGGUGGCUGGGCAACAACGUGAUGAUCUACUGGUUACCUUCAAACGCUAACCUCGGUUGGAUUGGACCUGCUCCGCGGUUUCGACAGAACGGCGAUUCGCGGGCCUGUCGGCGGCAGAGAGCACACUCUAUGCUUGCCAGGCCACGGUGAUGGUGCUGCGGUGCGCGCAGGGGAGCAGACGGCCACGCGGAGGCCUCGGGUGGCUCGGGCAGUGCUGGACGGCGUCGAAAGCUGGCGCUGGCUCCCGCUGGCCGCCGCAGGUGGCUUUUCCACCGCAAAAGUUGCCGGCGUCGGCAAGGCACGCCGCCACCGACACCUGCGCCUGUCCGAAAGAACGUGCGGCGCUCUGGAUAAGGAGGAGGAGCAAUGCGUAAGGUGCCAGCGCGUGCACUGGUGAGAUCGAUGCCGAGGCUCUGAAGAAAACGACGCCGCUGACUAAAACUUGACACUGAACUCUGAAUUUUCUGAAUCUGUGACAGAAACAGUGCACGCCAGGUGCUCAAUGAAAUGUUUUUGGCAUGUGGGAAAAUUAUCUGGAGCUGAUCUUUGGUGAGGUGGCCUCUCAAUGCACCUGGGGGCUGCUUUAUUUUUGUCAGAAUUUUUGGAAAAGGAAAAAUAUGAAUUUCACCAAAAAUGAUGAAUCUGGUCCAAACUUGUAGUGAGGAAAACUUGAAAAUUUUGAACUGUGGAAGAGUGGAUCUUGAUGGAUCUAGGUUGGGGGUGCUAAGGACUAGUCAGAGGAGUUGGUUUGGGGUCAGAACUCAAAAGAAAUUUGGUACUUCCUUUGUAAAUCACCUUGGUUCAAAAUACAAAGCAGAAAUAGUUUUGGGAAUAAAAUAAAUGAAAUAAAAAUAAGAAAUGGGUUGAACUUGCUGGGAUUGGAUAUUUGGCUUGACCCAAUGUCAGGACCCCGACUCGAUGUCACAUCGAUCUAGCAGGUAACACCUCAUAUCACUUUGCGGCCUCACGCACGGUAUCCCCACGGGUGUCGCCUUACCUUUGCCCGGGACCGUUUGCGCCUUUUGGCUCACGUAUAUGAUAGUGUCGCUAGCAUCCAUGUGAUAAGGAGCCCGGGCUGACAUGACUAGUCGUAAACCCAAAGUGGCACAGACUUACAGGGACAGGCAUCCAUGACCCAGCUUCGAACGUGUCGGUCAUCAGCAAGUGGGUCCGGGCUGUAGCACUGGGCUAGCAGGACUCCGGUAAACCGGGCUGUAGCGGGCUAACAGGACUCCGGUACUCAAUGCGUGACAUUUCCCCGAAGGGACAGACACAGGAACGAAGAAGGACACAUGCCGGCCAGCCUAAGUGUUCCAGAGCAGUAGCAAGCUACCAUGGCUCAGCGGUAACACUAGGAGACAUUUCCCGGUAAGAGAGGCUACUAAAGAUAAACAACUAGGUAGUCAGAUCCCACACAUACCAAGCAUUUCAAUCAUACACACAAUAUGCUCGAUAUGUGCAAAUACAACGAAGCAUCACAACAUGACUUUACGACACAAGUACUUUAUUUAAGGCUCAGGGAGCCAUACAUAUCAUACACAAAGGUACGGGUCUCACGACCCAACAUUCAAGUCAUACAGUCAUACAAACCAGCAGCGGAAGUAACUUGUCUGAGUACAGACAACUAGUAAAAUAAAAGAGGCUUGGAAAGCCUAACUAUACUACGUGGUCCUUCACAAGCUCAGGAUCACCACCUGGGCCUUUAGCCUACUCGUUGAUGUCAAUGUCUACGUAGAACCCAUCAGAAGGGGUUGCAGCGUCUUCUGUAAAAUGUAAAUUAUAGCAACAUGAGUACAAAGGUACUCAGCAAGACUUACAUCAGAUCCUACAUACAUGCACAUUGUCAAGAAGGGUUGGUGGAGCUAUUGCAGCAAGCCAGCUUUGACUCUUGGCUAGACUAUCCUACGAUACUCCAACUUGAAAUGGUUUUGCGCACACGAGUCCACUACCCACCACUUCAAUACACUACCGAGGAUCCGCCUCCGUCUUCCUACGGAAGAGCCAUCCUCGGCACUCACACUUAUCUUGAGGCUUUUAGUAGUUUCCAUUUACUUGUCUAUGAACUGUAUAGGCAACCAAGUAGUCCUUUACCGCGGACGCGUCUAUUCGAAUAGAUCAUGAUAACCCUGCAGGGGUGUACUUCUUCAUACAUGUUUCCACCACUUAGCGUCUGCACACGACAUGUGCUCGGCAGACUUCAAGCGAAAGCCGACGUGGGUGUAGACCACGACCUACCUAAACACUUAAGCCUCUAGUCCAGGUUUAUCGCCUAUCCAGGUUCCAUCCGCAGGGAGUCCGGUCGAGGUUUCCCAUACGGCCCCGAACGAUGUGAACAGGGUUCCCGAGAUACCUAACGGGUAUUCGGUACACCCGGCCACGUACCUACCGCAUCACAGCCCACCCCUACGGUCAGCGCUGUCCACGGCCUCCAGUAGGCUACAAACACCAGAAACUACAUGCAACUCCUGGACAGAGAGCUAGGGUGAAUAAGAAGUCGAGCGGGGUCAUAUUUCAGGGCCCAAUGCAUGGUAGUAGCUGUAUCUUAAAUCGCACAUACAGAUCUCAGUGCUUAAGGUCGGCUUCAAUGAAACAACCCACCAUGUACUCCUACAUGGCCUCUCAUCGAUACCUUUACCAAAUCGUGUUCACCACACCACUCUCAUUACCGACAUAAUCAUUUCACUCUAGCCCAUCACCCAGAUGAACCAGACCUGACACGACUCUAAGCAUAGCAGGCAUAGCAAGGUAGGAACAACACAUACAUAUGGCUGAAACAACUCCUACACAUGCUAGUGGGUUUCAUCUAGUUACUGUGGCAAUGACAGGUCAUGGAGAGGAAAUGGGUUCAACUACCGUAGCACACAGCAGUUUGAAACGCGUUGUCUUAAUGCAGUAAAAGAGAGCAGGAGCGAGAACAUGGGAUUGUAUCGAUAUGAUCAAAUGGUUGGUUGCUUGCCUGAUGGUUCGAUGCACUGAUACGGUUCUUCGUUAGGGUAAUCACGGUACUCCUCGGAGGCAGAACCUGUCGCAAAGGACACCGAUACACAACCAUCACCAAACAAUGUGCAACAAUAUGAUGCAUGCAUGAAACAUGGCAAUAUGAGUGUGUUGGGCUAAUGCAACUAAAACCAGAAGGGUUUAAUCAAAGAUUCAAAUUUUCAAACUCAAACAUGGCCUUUUAAAGUGCUUUUCCUUGUUCUGCUUUAAACAUCAAUUUAACUUGUUUGAUCAUGCAUGAAAAUAGUACAGAUGGAUAGAUUGGAUUUUUCUGAUCAUUUUUCAUAUAUAAUUUGUCUGAUUUGGAGUUACAGAAUAAAAGUUAUGAAUUUUUGAAGUUUAAAUUAUAUUCUGGAAUUUCCUGAUUUAAUUUAAAUCCAGAAAUAUAUAUAUAUUGCGCCAGCAUGACGUCAGCACGACGUCAGCGGUCAACUGCGGCUGGCUGGGGUCAAACCUGACGUGUGGGGUCCACACGUCAGUGACAGGGGGGGUUAACAGAGGUUAGAUUAAUCCUAAUUAAGAAUUAGUGGCGCUGGGGCCCACUGGUCAGUGUCAGGGGGUUAAUUGACAGUGAUUAGCACUAAGCUAACCACCUGGCCGACGGGGCCCACGCGUCAGUGACUCUGGGGGGGUCAAACCCCAGGUCGGACAAGUCAAACCCGCCGGCGGUUAGUCGCCGGCGAGGUCCGCGGCGUACAUGUGCCCCGGGUUUCCUCUGUGGUGCUCCAAACGGCGUGCGGCUAGGUGCGUUGGAAAGCUAGCUCGAUAGCGCGUCGGGCGGUGGCCGUGGCUGGGCCUGGGGUGGCCGGAGUCGACGGUGGCGAGCUCGGCUGCGGCCGCCGGGGUUCGGUCGUGCACGGAAACGUGGUUGGAGCUCGAAGGCGAGCGAAGCAAGGCGCUAGGGAUGCUCUACGGGGCCUUACGAACUUGUUGGGCUCGCCGGGGUGACCAAAUGGUCACCGGAGCUGCGUCGACGGCGAGCUUGGCGACGGCGGAGGUUCGGCCGUGGUGGGGAACGGAGUUACGGCGCGGGAACGAGGGGGAGAAGAGAGGGAAACGGUGGCGGAGCUCACCGCGGUUGCAGCGGGCGUCGAAGCGGGCUCAGGGACGCACUGGAGACGGCGAAUCGACGGCGAUGGUGGUCGGAGCCCGAGGAGGAAGACGAUGGCGACGGCGGCUCCACAGGGCGUCCGGCGUCUUAUGGCUUGACGGAGAGCUUCAGGGCGAGGGGGCGGAGCUCCUGCGCGUGUCGGGGAGGCGAGGGGAGGCCGGUGGCGGCUGCUAUGGCGAACGGCGGCGAUGGGUGCGUUCGGACACGGGAGAGAGAGAGCGAGGGAGAGGAGAGGAAGAACCGGGGGAGAGUGAGAGAGUACGGGGGAGGGCGUGGCGUCGUUCCAGGGCAUCCAGACGGGGAGGGGAGAGGCAGGCAGGCAGGCGAGCUGGUGGCGUGGCGCGGUGGCGCGCGCGCGCGCCGGGCACACUCCCCUCCCUCUGUCGAGGACGAAGACGACAGAGGAGGAGGCGGGCUGGGCCGCCUGCUGGCUGGGCCGGCCAGCUACUGCUGGGCUGCACAGGGAGGAGCCCCAGGUAAGCUUCUCCUUCUUUUAUUUAUUUUUGUUUUCUAAUUUCUGACAUUUGUUUUGAUUUAAAUAAAAUAUUAAAUCAUUUAUUUACCUUAUGCCAAUUUUUGCAGGAGCUAGAUAUAUUAUUCCAGAGCUCCCCAACAGGUGGCAUAAUUUUUGGACAUAUAUUAAUAUAUAUAACUAAUAUAUUUCCAAUGCAAAUAUUUAUGCAUUAAUUCCAAAUGCCCAAAAUGAAUACCUAUGAGCUCUUAAAAAUAUUGAUUUGAUUUUUAUCUCUGUCCAAUAUUUUCAGAGAGCAACAUGAGCAUUUUAUUGGACCCUUUUGGAGAAAUUUUUAUUUGGGUCAUUUUCAAAAAUGAUUCUGAGGGUUUCACAAAUCCCCAUUUCAAAAUUAAAUGGAAUUUUAAACAUGAUGCACACACUCUGAUGCAUGACUAGCCAGGUGUGACACCCAAAGUGGAGGGAGAGGUUUUGGAAGAGAUUUUUAGCAUGGGCAUGGUGGAAGAGAAUGGUUUGAAUAAAAGGGAAUAAACCAAAAACCCUAAAGAUUUCUUUUUAAUUGAAUUUUUUUCAAAAUAAAUUGUGAUGAGUCACACCAAUGAAAAGCCUUCAAAGUCAAACAUCAAGGUUGAGGAUGACCCAAAAUAAAGAUUUUGACAUAAGAGAAAAUAUUUGAGAAGGAGAGUCUUUUUAAAAGAUUUUGAAUAGCCUCCUUCAAAUCAAAAGAAUUUGCUGAAAACCAAAUAAAAUUUUUUGGAGUGUCACAACACCUACCCCCUUAGGAAAAAUCUCGUCCCCGAGAUUUCAGCUGAUCCUCAAAUAGGUGUGGGUGCCCUGUCCGAAGAAAAUCCUCUCUUUCCCAUGUUGCUUCAUCCUCGGUGUGAUUGCUCCACUGAACUCUGAAAAACUUGAUUGUUUUCUGACGGGUCCUCCUUUCAGACUCCUCCAAUAUUUUUAUUGGACAUUCCCUGUAGGUGAGGUCUGGUUGCACGUCAAUGUCUUCAUGGGAUACAUGCUUCUCUGGGUUGCUUACGCACUUCCUCAACUCUUAUACAUGGAACACGUCGUGGACGUCUGACAGUUCUUCGGGUAGGUCUAGCUGGUAGGCUACUGUGCCUCUUCGUGCAACUACACAGAAGGGUCCGAUGAAUCCUGGUGCUAGCUUUCCUUUAACUUUGAAUCAUUGUAGGCCCCUCAUAGGUGAUACUCGUAGGUACACAUACUCACCGGGUUCAAAACUGACUCCCCGAUGUUUUCGAUCUAAUAACUCUUCUUUCGACUUUGAGCUGUCUCGAGUCGGUCCCUGAUUAGCUUAACCUUUUCCUCAGCCUCCUUGAGCAUGUCUGGGCCAAAGAUACGACUGUCGCCGGUCUCUGACCAAUUUAGUGGGGUACGACAUCUCCGCUCGCACAAGGCUUCAAAAGGUGCCAUUUGUAGGCUGGCUUGGUAGCUGUUGUUGUAUGCGAACUCGGCAUAUGGCAAGUUUUCUUCCCAACUGGUUCCAUAGGUGAGGACACAUGCCCUCAGCAUGUCUUCUAGAAUUUGGUUUACCCGUUCAGUUUGUCCAUCAGUCUGGGGGUGGUAUGCUGUACUGAAUGCUAGUUGAGUUCCCAGGGCUUGUUGUAAUUGAUCCCAAAAUCUAGAGACGAAUUGCGUGCCUCUGUCAGAUUUUAUAGUCUUUGGGACUCCAUGCAGACAGACGAUACGGGAGAGAUAAAGCCUGGCAAGCUUAUGAGUGGUGUGGGUUGUCUUCACCGGGAUGAAAUGUGCCACCUUAGUCAAUCUAUCUGUGAUGCCCCAUAUGGCAUCAUUUCUGUAUUGUGACCGGGGUAGUCCAACAAUAAAAUCCAUUCCAAUCUCGUCCCAUUUCCACUCGGGUAACUUGUUUGCCUGUAAUAGUCCGACUGGUUUCUGGUGCUCGGCCUUAAUGCGUUGGCAUGAAUCACAACAUGCAAUGAAUGUGGCUAUGUCCCUUUUCAUACUGUGCCACCAAAAAUUUUCCUGAAGGUCCUUGUACAUCUUGGUUCCUCCAGGAUGGAUUGAAUAUGGAGCGGUGUGGCCUUCAGCUAGAAUUUGCUGUUUAAGGUCCUCGAUAUUUGGUACGCAAAGCCUAUCUCUGUACCACAAUAUUCCCUUAUCGUCUAUGACGAAUUUUGAGGCCUUGCCGAUACUCACUUUUCUUUUUAUGCCUUCGAUGGUGGGGUGUCCAAGCUAAGCCUCCUUAAUCUGUUCUAUCAGGGUAGGUUGUAUUUCCAAAUUCGACACAUUGCCUUCGGUGACCAUUACCAAGUUCAGUUUGGCAAACUCCUGCUGAACUUCUGCUCUCAAAUUUGGUCGGCUGUCAUUGCCCGAGCUGGGGUUCCGACUAAGAGCGCCCGCCACUACAUUUGCUUUUCCUGGAUGGUAGUGAAUGCCGACAUCAUAAUCUUUCACUAAUUCUAACCAGCAUCGUUGUCGCAAAUUGAGUUCUGGUUGUGUGAAAAUAUAUUUGAGGCUUUUAUGGUCCGUAUAUAUUUCACAAUGAUUCCCAAGCAAAAAGUGUCUCCACUCCUUGAGUGUGUGAAUGACUGCUGCCAACUCCAAGUCGUGUGUGGGAUAAUUCUCUUCAUGCUUCCGUAAUUGCCUAGAAGCGUAUGCGACUACUUUGCCUUCUUGCAUUAAUACGCAUCUGAGGCCCUUCCUGGAUGCGUCACAAUAUACUUCAAAACUCUUGUGUAUGUCCGGUAUAACCAAUACUGGUGUUGUUGUUAAUUUCCUUUUGAGUUCUUGGAAACUUUUCUCGCAGGCUUCAGUCCAUAUAAACUUUUUAUCCUUCUUGAGUAACUGCAUCAUUGGUUUUGCUAUGGUGGAGAAACCUUCAAUAAAUCUUCGGUAGUAUCCUGCCAUUCCCAAGAAACUUCGUACAUCCGUUACGAUGGCUGGUGGUUUCUAGCCAAGUACGACCUUGACUUUUUCCGGGUCUACGGCAACACCUUCUUGGGUUAGUACAUGGCCUAGAAAACCAACUUGUCUUAACCAAAAUUCACAUUUGCUGAAUUUGGCGUAUAACUGAUGUUUCCUUAAUUCUCCCAGUACAAUCCUGAGAUGUUCAGCGUGCUCUUCUGGAGUCUUGGAGUAUACCAGAAUAUCGUCAAUGAAUACCACAACAAAUUUGUCCAUAAAUUUCAUAAAUACUUUGUUCAUGAGGUGGACAAAAUAUGCGGGGGCGUUUGUCAGUCCAAACGGCAUUACUGUAAACUCAUAUAGUCCGUAUCUUGAGGUAAAUGCUAUUUUGGGAAUAUCUUCUGUCCACACUUUUAAUUGAUGAUACCCCGACCUCAAAUCAAUUUUCGAGAAGACUUUGGCUUGUGCGAGCUGGUCAAACAAGUCAUUUAUCCGUGGCAUUGGAUAUUUGUUUUUGAUGGUGACCAUGUUGAGUGCUCGAUAGUCUAUACAUAAUCUUAGUGUCCCAUCCUUUUUCUUGGCAAAUAAUACUAGUGAACCCCAAGGUGAGGAGCUGGCUCGUAUAAAUCCUUUGUCCAGUAAUUCUUUUAUUUGCUUCUUUAAUUCUACCAACUCGGAGGGUGCCAUUCUAUAGGGCUUCAUGUAAAUGGGGGUGGUUCCAGGUGCUAGCUCAAUGAUGAAUUCUAUUUCCCGGUCUGGCGGCAUGCCUGGUAGUUCCUCAGGAAAUACAUUGGGAAACUCACAUACCACUCGAACUUUGUUUAACUCUGAGAUGUCCACCUUGUUAAACCUUGGUUGCCGUGAUAUUUGCCUUUCUUGAGCUGAAAUCUUUAUUGUCUUCCCGUGAUGAUGAGUGAGAAUCACAGUCCGAUUGAAACAGUCAAUAAAUCCUUUGUUGAUGGUUAACCAGUCCAUUCCUAGGAUAACAUCCAGUCCCUUGUUUUCCAAUACGAUGAGGUUUGCAUGAAACUUUAGUCCUUCAAGAUCAAUAACCACACCUUGGCAGUAAUUCCGAGUAACUUGCUUAAUCCCAGGGGACUUGAUGAUCAUGGAUUUUUCCAAGGGGAGCAUUGAAAAAUCAUUUUGCAAAGCAGAUUUCUUUGAAAUGAACGAGUGAGAAGCUCCAGAAUCAAUCAAAACCGUGGCAGGUAUUGUGUUGAUAGGGAACAUACCGAGUACGAUAUCCGAGGCAUUCUGUGCUUCCUCUCUAGUCACGUGGUUCAAGUGACCCUUCUUGUGAUUGUUAUUGGGGUUGAAGUUGUUCCGCUUGGGCGUUGAAUUAUUGCCACCGUUGUUCGGCUUUGGGGCUGAGUUCCUUGGCUUGGGACACUGCUUGGCAUAGUGUCCUUCUUCUCCACAAGCGUAGCAAGUAACGCCUGGGCGAUAUGUGAACUCCUUGUCCCUUGCAUGGAAAUUUUUGAUUGGGCGUGAAACAUUGGUCAUGGGUUUGUGUGCCCCACCUUUCUGAAAAUCCGUCUUGCUCCGGUGGUUGCGAGCAAGAGUAGUCUGGUCCCUUUUUCGCUUGCGGAAAUCCUCCAAGCUGCGGCGCUCAUUUUCCAAUGUAAUAGCCUUAUCCACCAGUGUUUUCAAAUCUAGGAACGUGUGUGACACUCCAAAAAAAUUUAUUUAGUUUUCAACAAAAACUUUGUUGGAUUUUUAAGAAGGUCAUUUAAAUCCUUCCAAAAACCUCUCUCUCAAAACUUUUCCCCAUGGCAAGGAUUUUAUUUUGGUAUCUUCUUCAACCCUGGUGUUUGGUUAUUAAAAACCUUUCUUCUGAUUUUUCCCAUCUCAAAUAUAUUUUUGGAAUUUAUUUUCUUUUAAAAGAAACCCUAUGGGUUUGGGGGCUUCUUUUGUUUUGAAACCACCCAUACUUUUACCAUGCCUCAUGUGGUAAAUCCUCCCAAAAUCCCUGCCUCCACUUUGGGGCAAUCCAAACUUUCUGUUCCAACAAGUCCAACCCAUUUUUGGAUUUUAUUUCAUUUAUUUUACUCCCCAAAACAAUUCUGUCAAUUAUUUUAAGCCUAGAUGAUUUACAAAGGAAGUACCUGACUUCCUUUAAGUUUUGAUCUCAAACCAACUCCUCUGGAUAGUCCUUAGCACCCCCAACCUAGAUCCAUCAAGAUCCACUCUUCCUCUUUUCCAAAUUUUCAAGUUUCCACCUCUGUAAGUUUGGACCAGAUUCAUCAUUUUUGGUGAAAUUCAUAUUUUCCUUUCUCCAAAAAUUUCACCAAAAUUCAGGCAGCCCCCAGGUGCUUUGAGAGGCCACCACACCAAAGAUCAGCCCCAGAAUAAUUCUUCUCAUGCUUGAUUCAUUUCAUCAAACACUUGGUCGGCACUGUUCCUGUACACUUUCAGUAAAUUCAGAGUUUCAGAGUGUUGACAGUGUCGUUUUUCGUCAGUGCCUUGUCAUCGAUCACCAGUGCACCCUGGCGCGUUGCGCAUGGCCUUUCCUUCUUAACCUGAGCACCGCACGCUUCCUUGGACAGGCGUAGGUGUCGGUGGCGGCGAGCCUCGCCGACGCCGGCAGCCUUUGCGGUGGCAGAGCCACCCGUGGCGGCCAACAGGAGCCACGGCCAGCUCGCUACACCGUUCGGCGCCGCCCAAUGCUCCCUAGCCCUCUGCUUGGCCUCAUGCAUGCCAGCACACACCGCAGCACCGUCACCGUGGCCCGGCAAGCACAGGGCACGCUCUCUACCGCCGACGGGCCCGCGUCGCCCCGUUCUGUCAAAACCACCCACGCGCGCCUAAUCCAACCUGGUUUAUCUUCUAAACGGAACCCGUGGACCUCCACGUUGAUGCCCAACCUCCUAAACUCCCCGACCAAGCACUGCACCACCGUAACCAUCGCCGGAGAUCCCCGUUCACGGCCACCGCCUCGGAUCGCCAAUAAAAAGAGGCCCCGAGCUCGUUCUCGAGCACUCACCACCACUGCACCCCACCAGAACCCCGCCAAGCCACUAGGAGGACCUCGAGGAGGUCUCCUCCCCCAACUCCGGCCGCCCCGAUCCGCCUCGGCCACCAGCUCGAUCCACUCCGGUGAGGCCAUCCCCGCUGCCCAAACCUCGUCAGUAGUCUGCUUGAGCACCUAGUGAUCUAACCCAGGCUUCAAUUUGACCUCCGCAGCCCUCCCCGACGAGAUCCAACUCCACCCGAGCCGCCGUCCGCCGGAGCAAGGACCGUCGUCGACGUGGUGCUUGCCGACGACCACCACCCACCGACGCGGAAGGACACACUGAGCAUGUAUGUACUCUCUGAUCCUCCUAACUCGUCGUGGAUCGCCGUCGGUGACCACCGCAGCUCUCGGGCGCCGACGAGCUCUGUUUCUCCCCCCGUUUGAAAUUUCAAACCUGACGGGUGGGACCCCUCGUCAGUAUUUUCUUUUUUUCGAACCAUUUUCUGAAAACGCCUUCGGGCAGAAUACGUUUCCCUUUGCAGUUGACGGCUUUUUAGCCGACGCAUUUUCUGUUUUUAUAAGUUGGCCCCUGGAAACUUUCUGUUUCAUUACAGAUGAGUCCCUGGAUUAAAACCUUUAUAACUUUUAAACAGAAACUGAUUUUUGAUUGAUUCUUUUUCUGUCAUCUUUAUUUUUCUGUCUAGUUUUUUUGUCAUAUUUAUUUGAAAAAUAUUUGGAAAAUUUUUUUGUGCACUCUCGGUAUUUACGUUAGUACGUAUUUUCUUAUAACGUAGAUACCGGAGGAGGUGACGAAACCGCGAACUUUGCCAAGCUAGACUCUGACUACUCCGAACCAGGCAAGCAUGUUUGAACUUUUGAUAUGAUGAGUGUCUUGGGCAUGUUUGCAUUAAGUAGUUUCAUGGGAUGUUUAUGAGCAUCUCGAUGAAUGUUAUAUUACAUGCAAAGUUGAGGCAAGUGAGUUUCGAAACUCCGUAAGUUGUUGGAUAUGAGUUUGCAUGGCCAUGUGAUGACAUGAGAAUGGGUAAGAUGGCAGUGUUGUAGCGUGCCAGUCUUAUGCCAGACUAUUUGACUCCAGUGUCAACAUGAAUCAGUCCAGUUUCCAUCCGUUUUCCCUUCCUGUACUACCACAUGUUUUCCGCAAGGGAUAUGGCUUAGUAAGUUGCAAACCGCUUUCCUGGUACACACCAAAUCGAGAGGCCGUGAUGAGGGUUCCAUGGCCCUGGAUUAAAGCCAGUCAUCCGGUCAGGGGGCAUGGGUGUUUCCGGUUGGGACUGAGAGGGGGCACCCCUUAGAGCGCGCGUAUAUAAAUUUCAUCCCAUGCUAUUCGAGAUUGUGAUCUCCCCGUCUCAAAGUUUUUCUUGAACGCUGUCUAGGGUGAUUCCUGGCAUCGUUAGGUGGGAUGGGUGUGUACUGGUUAGAUGUGUUUCUACCGAAAUACCGUAAACGGAACUAGUCCUUCGUGACUACGGAAAUCCGUUGGCUAUGGGUAAUCUAGUACAAACUCUGCAGAGUCAAAAAUCCUUUGAAUCAUCUUAUCCAUGCCCAAGUACUGUGUUCAACUUAUCUUGUCAAGUGUCAGUCUCAGUGACAAAAACUCUGCUGAACCACAUGAGUGUUAAGCCUGGUUAAAUGUUUAUUCCUGUGGAUGGACUAACUCGUUUAUUAUUAUGUGUUGAAUAUUUCUUAUGAGUAUAUAUCUUUGUGAAUUAUCAGAUAUGAAUAAUGAAAUAUAAGCCCUUUCUGCGAUGUCGCUCAGACGUCCGACUGUGGCACGCUUGCUAUUUACUUUCGAUAUAAGCCCUUUCUGCGAUGUCGCUCAUACGUCCGAAUGUGGCACGCAUGUUAUUUACUUUCAAUAUAAGCCCUUUCUGCGAUGUCACUCAGACGUCCGACUGUGGCACGCUUGUUAUUUACUNNNNNNNNNNNNNNNNNNNNNNNNNNNNNNNNNNNNNNNNGUAUUAUAUCUUUGUGAAUUUAUCAGAUAUGAAUAAUGAAAUUUAAGCCCUUUCUGCGAUGUUGCUCAGACAUCCCACUGUGGCACGCAUGUUAUUUACUUUCAAUAUAAGCCCUUUCUGCGAUGUCACUCAGACGUCCGACUGUGGCACGCUUGUUAUUUACUUUCGAUAUAAGCCCUUUCUGCGAUGUCGCUCAGACGUCCGACUAUGGCACACAUGUUAUUUACUUUCAAUAUAAGCCCUUUCUGCGAUGUCGCUCCAACGUCCAACUGGCACGCAUGUCAUUUACUUUUCANNNNNNNNNNNNNNNNNNNNNNNNNNNNNNNNNNNNNNNNNNNNNNNNNNNNNNNNNNNNNNNNNNNNNNNNNNNNNNNNNNNNNNNNNNNNNNNNNNNNNNNNNNNNNNNNNNNNNNNNNNNNNNNNNNNNNNNNNNNNNNNNNNNNNNNNNNNNNNNNNNNNNNNNNUAUAAGCCCUUUCUGCGAUGUCGCUCAGACGUCCGACUGUGGCAUGCUUGUUAUUUACUUUCGAUAUAAGCCCUUUCUGCGAUGUCGCUCAGACGUCCGACUAUGGCACGUUUGUUAUUUACUUUCGAUAUAAGCCCUUUCUGCGAUGUCGCUUAGACAUCCGACUGUGGCACGCUUGUUAUUUACUUUCGAUAUAACCCCUUUCUGUGGUGUCGCUCCGACGUCCGACUGUGGCACGCAUGUCAUUUACUUUUCAAUAUAAGCCCUUUAUGUGGUGUCGCUUAGACGCCCGACUACGGCAUGAUUAUUUAUUCGUUUACCCUUCGAGGCGUCGCUCCAGACACCUGAUCGAUUUUUAGUUAUUUUGUUGGGAUUUCGGGAAGACUACCGUCCGACUCCCUUUUUACUUGUCAUGUUGUGCCAAUAUUUAUUAUUUGAAUGUGCAUUGCUAUUUGUCCAUGACGCAUUCAUGCAUGCAUUUGUUAUAUCUCAUGUCCGAACUGUCUUGCGAGUACUUUCAAAUUACUCACCUGGCUUGUUGAUUUGGCCAGAUGUUGACGAAGGCGAUCUCAUGGAUGAAGAGUUCGAUAGCGAGUCCGACGCCUAGAGGAGUCCCAGUCAGUCUCGUGCGAUCUUGGAUUUGGUCACUGUAUUAUAUCCAUUUCCGCUACCCGAAUAAAUUCAUCGAGCCUCACCUCGACGCUCGAUGAGCUGCCAGUUUAGGUGUCAUGUUAUCCACUCCACUGUGACAUUUCCACCACCACUUCUAUUUCGAGUCAGUAGUAUGCCACCCCACCCCUGUAUCAUAACCGCCGUUAUGUACAAUAUUGGCGUGUUUGUAAUAAAUUGUUGAGCAGCCUCAGCUCAACCCUGUAAUAUAUUUAAUGCUACUGGCCUACUGUAUCAAGUAUUUGUCUACUAGUAAGGAGAAUUCUUCCUGUACUGGAAUCAAAAGAUUGAUUUCUCAAUAAGUAUUUUAUUGAAAAACUGGUCGUGACAAACUUGGUACCAGAGCCAGGCUGACUGUAGGAAGCCACUAGGUGCGAUCACUAAUCGGUUAUUAGCAUAAUAGAGUUAAUUCAUAUUUUUGCAAAUGUAGUCAUUUUCUGACAAUCAGCAUAAAUUUAUGAUCUGACCAUUCAGAAUUUUUGCCUACUUUUGUAGAUGGCUGGCAACGACUGUGAGUCACAGGUGUUCGCCAACGUGCCUGAGGGGUUCAUCAAGCUCCUCUCCUUCAUCGUCCAGGUCGCGAUGGGGCCAUCAGUGCGCCCAGUCUUCACACUCUACCAGCACAAGAUCAACGACAGUCUGACCAUGCACCAGGCCGCAGUGCAAUUCAAGGGAGGGCGUGUUGAGGUACGCCGCUUCCGGUUCUUGGGGAGAGCCAUGCCUACGGAGAAGCAUGCUAUGCAGAUGGCUGCCCGUGAGGCGAUAGCUCGUCUCUAGGAUGUUCUUCCUUCGAUGAAGACUCGUCGUUACCGCUACCUUCCAUGCCACGUGCCAUACACCUGUCACUAUGCAUUCGCUUGCCCUAGAGGAGAGCGAGACGAGGCUAUCGAGAUGCUUGUCGAGUACCUCCGGGCUCUAGAGGCAGCCUUCGACAACCUGGUGGACGACCUUGUGGCUGCCCGCAUGGACUCAGUCCAUGGCUGUGCCGCCAACAGGAGGGAGCUCCUGCACACCACACCACCACUGACUUUUGUCUCGUCCUCGGCAUCUUAUUCACCUACCAUUCUCGCCACUGCUCAUCACCUGCUACCACUGAGGAGUUCAACCAAGUCAUUGCGCCCACUUCAGUCCGCACUGCACCACCCAUUGCGCCCACUCCUGUUCGUGUUGCUCCGCCUAUGGCGCCUGCUCCAUCUACUCAGCGCAACACUUCACGUUUGGAGCCUAUUAGCGAGGAGGAGGUUGAGUCCCCAGCCUCACUGCGCCUCACCCUCGGCAGGCCAAGGGAGAUUCUUACCAUCUCCGAUUGAGUACGCUUAGCCGCCAUGCGAUGUACCGACUUGUACGAUAUGUUUAUAUGUACAUAGGUUGUGAGCAGUAGCUUGUUUGCGCAUCAUGUAGGAACUGGGAGAAGUGCACUAGCCUAAAUAACAUGUCAGGAAUAUGUACGCAUAUCCUGAAUGAUGUAUUGUAUAAUUACUGCUUGCGUGUAAGAUAUGUAAUGAGGAGUCCUUCUCCGUGCGCAAUCAAUUAUUAUCUUGAAAAAUCCUGGAGCAUUUAAAAUUUCCCGUCUUUAUGAAUUUAUUGAUUUUUGUGACUCAAUUCCCUUUCUUAUGAGUUUUACAAAAUAUAUCCCCAGAGUGAAAAAUGCCUCGUCCUUGGACGCGCUCCAUGGCAAAUCCGCUAGAGGAAAAUUAUGGCACCCAGACUAGCAACAAUUUCACGCAGGGAUAGUCGAGUCAGCAGGGCAGUGAGACGGCGUUUUCCCAAGUAUGCCGCCUAUAUGAACAGAGUCAGCAACAACAUCGGGAAAUGAUGAACCAAGUCAUCAAUAUGGGGAAUCACCAUGGACAGUAUCCACAACAAUCCAAGUUGUCUGAGCUACAAAAGACGCGUCCCCCAACAUUUUCUCAUACUGACAAACCUCUCGAGGCCGACGACUGGCUUUGAGACAUGGAAAGAAAAUUAAUUAUUGCACAGUGUUCAGACCGUGAGAAAGUACUAUAUGCACCGCACUAUCUCACUGGAGCAGCUACAUCAUGGUGGGAAAAUUUCCUACACAUGCACCCCAAUGAGAAUGAUAUAACCUGGGAGGAGUUCAAAGAAGGUUUUCGUGGAGCGCACAUUCCUAAAAGUGUUAUGAAGAUCAAGAAGAGAGAGUUUGAUGACCUCAAACAAAGGACCAUGACGGUGUCAGAAUACAACAGUCAGUUUACUAUGUUGUCUCGCUACGCCAACGAAGAGCGUAUGACUGAAAGCAAGAAGAUGGAAAAAUUCCUGGACGGUCUGGCACCCACGCUUAAAUGCCAGCUGGUUGUGCACACCUUACCAGAUUUCAAAAUGCUGGAGGAUAAGGCCAUUACCUUGGAAAAUGAGAGACGCAGCUUGGAGGAUUUCCGCAAGCGCAAAAGGGACCAGACUACUCUUGCUCGCAACCACUGAAGCAAGACGGAUUUUCAGAAAGGUGGGACACACAAACCCACGACAAACGUCUCACACCCAAUCAAGAAUUUCCAUGCAAGGGACAAGGAGUUCACAUAUCGCCCAGGCGUUACUUGCUACGCUUGUGGAGAGGAAGGGCACUAUGCCAAGCAGUGCCCCAAGCCAAGGAACUCGACCCCAAAGCCGAACAACGGUGGCAAUAAUUCAGCGCCCAAGUGAAACAAUUUCAACCCCAAUAACAACCACAGGAAGGGUCAUCUGAACCACGUGACCAAAGAGGAAGCACAAAACACCCCGGAUAUCGUACUCGGUACGUUCCCUGUCAACACAAUACCUGCCACGGUUUUGUUUGAUUCUGGAGCUUCUCACUCAUUCAUUUCGAAGAAUUUUGCUUUGCAAAAUAAUUUUUCGAUGCUUCCCUUGGAAAAAUCCAUGAUCAUCAAGUCCCCUGGGAUUAAGCAAGUUACUCAGAGUUACUGCCAAGGUGUGGUUAUUGAGUUUGAAGGAUUGAAGUUUCACGCCAACCUUAUUGUAUUGGAAAAUAAAGGACUGGAUGCCAUCUUAGGGAUGGAUUGGUUAACCACCAACAAAGGUUUUAUUGACUGCUUCAACCGGACCGUAAUUCUCACCCACCACCACGGGAAGACAAUAAAAGUUUCAGCCAAAGAGAGAAAAAUAUCUCGGCAACCGAGAUUGAACAAGGUGGACGUUUCUGAAUUAAGCAAAGUUCCAGUAGUGUGUGAAUUUCCAGACGUAUUUCCCGAAGAACUACCAGGCAUGCCACCAGACCGAGAGAUAGAAUUCAGCAUUGAGCUAGCACCCGAAACCGCCCCCAUAUACAAGCAACCAUACAGAAUGGCACCAUCCGAGUUGGUAGAAUUGAAGAAGCAAAUAAAAGAAUUACUGGACAAAGGAUAUAUACGAGCCAGCUCCUCACCUUCGGGUUCACCAAUUUUAUUUGCCAAGAAGAAGGAUGGGACACUGAGAUUGUGUAUAGACUACCGAGCACUUAACAUGCUCACAGUCAAGAACAAAUACCCUAUGCCACGGAUAAAUGAUUUAUUUGAUCAGCUCGCUCAGGCCAAGGUCUUCUCAAAAAUUAACUUAAGGUCGGGAUACCAUCAAUUAAAAGUACGAACAGAAGAUAUCCCCAAGACAGCCUUCACCUCCAGAUACGGACUGUAUGAGUUCACAUUAAUGCCAUUUGGACUAACAAACGCCCCCGCAUAUUUUGUUCACCUCAUGAACAAAGUAUUUAUGAAGUUUAUGGACAAGUUUGUUGUGGUAUUCAUCGACGAUAUUCUGAUAUACUCCAAGACACCAGAAGAGCACGCUGAACAUCUCAGAAUUGUACUAGGAGAACUCAGGAAACAUCAAUUGUACGCCAAGUUCAGCAAGUGUGAAUUUUGGCUAAGACAGGUAGGUUUUCUGGGCCACGUACUGACCCAAGAAGGUAUUGCCGAAGACCCGGAAAAAGUCAAGGCCGUGCUUGGCUGGAAACCACCAGCCAGCGUAACGGACGUACGAAGUUUCUUGGGAAUGGCAGGAUACUACCGAAGAUUUAUUGAAGGAUUCUCCACCAUAGCAAAUCUAAUGACGCAGUUACUCAAGAAAGACAAGAAGUUUGAAUGGACGGAAGCUUGCGAGAAAAGUUUCCAAGAACUAAAAAGGAAAUUAACGACAACACCAGUAUUAAUUGUGCCAGACAUACACAAGAAUUUUGAGGUGUAUUGUGACGCAUCCCGGAAGGGCCUCGGAUGUGUAUUGAUGCAAGAAGGCAAGGUAGUCGCGUAUGUUUCCAGACAACUUCACAAGCAUGAAGAAAAUUAUCCUACUCAUGACCUGGAGUUGGCAGCAGUCAUUCAUGCACUCAAGGAAUGGAGACACUUUUUACUUGGAAAUCGUUGUGAAAUAUACACAGACCAUAAAAGCCUCAAGUAUAUUUUCACACAACCGGAACUCAAUUUACGGCAACGAUGCUGGUUGGAAUUAGUGAAGGAUUAUGAUGUUGGAAUCCACUACCAUCCAGGAAAAGCAAAUGUAGUGGCGGAUGCUCUAAGUCGGAAUCCUAGCCCGAACAACGACAACCUACCAAACCUGAGACCUGAAUUUCGGCAGGAGUUUGCUAAACUCAACUUGAUGGUGGUCAUCGAAGGCAGUGUGUCGAAUUUAGAAAUAUAGCCUACCCUGAUAGAAAAGAUUAAAGAGGCUCAGCAUGGGCAUCCCAGCAUUGAAGGCAUAAAACGGAAAGUGAGUUUGGGCAAGGCCUCAGAAUUCAUUAUCGACGAGCAGGGGAUAUUGUUGUAUGGAGAUAGACUUUGCGUACCAAAUAUCGAGGACCUUAAACAGCAAAUCUUAGCUGAAGGCCACACCACUCCGUAUUCAAUCCAUCCUGGAGGAACAAAAAUGUACAAGGAUCUUCAGGAAAAAUUUUGGUGGCACGGUAUAAAAAGGGACAUAGCCAUGUUCAUUGCGUGUUGUGACUCAUGUCAACGCAUCAAGGCAGAGCACCAGAAACCGGCCGGACUAUUACAACCAAAUAAGAUACCCGAGUGGAAAUGGGACGAGAUUGGAAUGGAUUUUAUUGUUGGGCUACCUCGGUCACGACACGGGAAUGAUGCCAUAUGGGUCAUCACAGAUAGACUGACUAAGGUGGCACACUUCAUCCCCGUGAAGACAACCCACACCACUCAGAAGCUUGCCAGGCUUUAUCUUUCCCGUAUCGUCUGCUUACAUGGAGUUCCAAAGACUAUAAUAUCGGAUAGAGGCACUCAAUUCGUCUCCCGAUUUUGGGAUCAAUUACAACAAGCUCUGGGAACUCAACUGGCGAUUAGUACCGCAUACCACCCCCAGACUGAUGGACAAACUGAACGCAUAAACCAAAUUCUAGAAGACAUGCUGAGAGCAUGUGUCCUCACCUAUGGAACCAGUUGGGAAGAAAGCUUGCCAUACACAUAGUUCGCAUACAACAACAGUUACCAAGCCAGUCUUCAAAUGGCACCCUUCGAAGCGUUGUACGGGCGGAGAUGUCGUACCCCACUAAAUUGGCCAGAGACCGGAGACAGCCGUAUCUUCAGCCAGACAUGCUGAAAGAAGUCGAGGAAAAGGUCAAGCUAAUCAGGGACCGACUCAAGACAGCUCAAAGCCGACAGAAGAGUUAUUACGAUCAGAAACAUCGGGGAGUCAAUUUCGAACCCGAUGAGUUUGUGUACCUACGAGCAUCUCCUAUGAGGGGCCUGCAACAAUUCAAGAUUAAGGGAGAGCUAGCACCAAGAUUCAUCGGACCAUUCUGUAUAGUGGCACGAAGAUGCACGGUAGCCUACCAGCUAGACUUACCCGAAGAAUUAUCCGAUGUCCACGACGUGUUCCACAUCUCGCAGUUGAGGAAGUGCGUGAGCAACCCAGAGAAGCAAGUAUCCCAUGAAAACAUUGACGUGCAACCAGACCUCACCUAUCGGGAACAUCCAAUAAAAAUAUUAGAGGAGUCUGAAAGGAGGACCCGACAGAAAACAAUCAAGUUUUUUAGAGUUCAGUGGAGCAAUCACACCGAGAGUGAAGCAACUUGGGAAAGAGAGGAUUUUUUCGGACAAAGCACCCACACUUAUUUGAGGCUCAGCUGAAAUCUCGGGGACAAGAUUUUUCCUAACGGGGUAGGUGUUGUGACACUCCAAAUUUUUUUAUUUAGUUUUCAACAAAAACUUUGUUGGAUUUUUAAGAAGGUCAUUUAAAUCCUUCCAAAAACCUCUCUCUCAAAACGUUUCCCCAUGGCAAGGAUUUUAUUUUUGUAUCUUCUUCAACCCUGGUGUUUGGUUAUUAAAAACCUUUCUUCUGAUUUUUCCCAUCUCAAAUAUAUUUUUGGAGUUUAUUUUCUUUUAAAAGAAACCCUAUGGGUUUUGGGGCUUCUUUUGUUUUGAAACCACCCAUGCUUUUACCAUGCCUCAUGUGGUAAAUCCCCCCAAAACCCCUCCCUCCACUUUGGGGCAAUCCAAACUUUCUGUUCCAACAAGUCCAACCCAAUUUUGGAUUUUAUUUCAUUUAUUUUACUCCCCAAAACAAUUCUGUCAAUUAUUUUAAGCCUAGAUGAUUUACAAAGGAAGUACCUGACUUCCUGUGAGUUUUGAUCUCAAACCAACCCCUCUGGAUAGUCCUUAGCACCCCCAACCUAGAUCCAUCAAGAUCCACUCUUCCUCUUUUCAAAAUUUUCAAGUUUCCACCUCUGCAAGUUUGGACCAGAUUCAUCAUUUUUGCUGAAAUUCAUAUUUUCCUUUCUCGAAAAAUUUCACCAAAAUUUAGGCAGCCCCCAGGUGCUUUGCGAGGCCACCACACCAAAGAUCAGCCCCAGAAAAAUUCUUCUCAUGCUUGAUUCAUUUCAUCAAACACUUGGUCGGCACUGUUUCUGUACACUUUCAGUAAAUUCAGAGUUUCAGAGUGUUGACAGUGUCGUUUUUCGUCAGUGCCUUGUCAUCGAUCACCAGUGCACCCUGGCGCGUUGCGCACUGCCUCUCCUUCUUAACCUGAGGGCCGCACGCUUCCUUGUUCGGGCGCAGAUGUUGGUGGCGGCGAGCCUCGCUGAUGCCGGCAGCCUCUGCGGUGGCAGAGCCACCCGUGGCGGCCAACAAGAGCCAGCGCCAGCUCGCUACGCCGUUCGGCACCGCGCAACGCUCCCUAGCCCUCCGUGUGGCCUCAUCCAUGCCAGCACACACCACAACACCGUCUCUGUGGCCCGGCAAGCACAGGGCACGCCCUCUGCCGCCGACGGGCCCGCGCCACCCCGUUCUGUCAAAACCACCCACGCGCGCCUAAUCCAACCUGGUUUAUCUUCUAAACGGAACCCGUGGACCUCCACGUUGAUGCCCAACCUCCUAAACUCCCAGACCAAGCACUGCGCCACCGUAACCAUCGCCUGAGAUCCCCGUUCACGGCCACCACCUCGGAUCGCCUAUAAAAAGAGGUCCCGAGCUCGUUCUCGAGCACUCACCACCGCUGCACCCCACCAGAACCCCGCCAAGCCACUAGGAGGACCUCGAGGAGGUCUCCUCCCCCAACUUUGGCCGCCCUGAUCCGCCUCGGCCACCAGCUCGAUCCACUCCGGUGAGGCCAUCCCCGCCGCCCAAACCUCGUCAGUAGUCUAUUCGAGCACCCAGUGAUCUAACCCAGGCUUCAAUUUGACCUUUGCAGCCCUCCCCGACGAGAUCCAACUCCACCCGAGCCGCCGUCCGCCGGAGCAAGGACCGCCAUCGACGUGGUGCUCGCCGAUGACCACCACCACCACCCACCGACGCGGAAGGACACACUGAGCACGUAUGUACUCUCCGAUCCUCCUAACUCGUCGUGGAUCACCGCCGGCGACCACCGCAGCUCUCGGGCGCCGACGAGCUCUGUUUCUCCCCCCGUUUGAAAUUUCAAACCUGACGGGUGGGACCCCUCGUCAGUAUUUUCUUUUUUUCGAACCGUUUUCUGAAAAUGCCUUUGGGCAGAAUACGUUUCCCUUUGCAGUUGACGGCUUUUUAGCCGAAGCAUUUUCUGUUUUUAUAAGUUGGCCCCUGGAAACUUUCUGUUUCAUUACAGAUGAGUUCCUCGAUUAAAAUCUUUAUAACUUUUAAACAGAAACUAAUUUUUGAUUGAUUCUUUUUCUGUCAUCUUUAUUUUUCUAUCUAGUUUUUUUGUCAUAUUUAUAUGAAAAAUAUUUGGAACAUUUUUUUGUGCACUCUUGAUAUUUACGUUAGUACAUAUUUUCUUAUAACAUAGAUACCGGAGGAGGUGACGGAACCGCGAACUUCGCCAAGCUAGACUCCGACUACUCUGAACCAGGCAAGCAUGUUUGAACUUUUGAUAUGAUGAGUGUCUUGGGCAUGUUUGCAUUAAGUAGUUUCAUGGCAUGUUUAUGAGCAUCUCGAUGAAUGUUAUAUUACAUGCAAAGUUGAGGCAAGUGAGUUUCGAAAAUCCAUAAGUUGUUGGAUAUGAGUUUGCAUGGCCAUGUGAUGACAUGAGAAUUGGUAAGAUGGCAGUGUUGUAGCAUGCCAGUCUUAUGCCAGACUAUUUGACUCCAGGGUCAACAUGAAUCAGUCCAGUUUCCAUCCGUUUUCCCUUCCUGUACUACCACAUGUUUUCCGCAAGGGAUAUGGCUUAGUAAGUUGCAAGCCGCUUUCCUGGUACACACCAAAUCGAGAGGCCGUGAUGAGGGUUCCAUGGCCCUGGAUUAAAGCCAGUCAUCCGGUCAGGGGGCAUGGGUGUUUCCGGUUGGGACCGAGAGGGGGGCACCCCUUAGAGCACGCGUAUAUAAAUUUGAUCCCAUGCUAUUCGAGAUUGUGAUCUCCCCGUCUUAAAGUUUUUAUUGAACGCUGUCUAGUGAUUCCUGGCAUCGUGAGGUGGGAUGGGUGUGUACUGGUUAGAUGUGUUUCUACCGAAAUACCGUAAACGGAACUAGUCCUUCGUGACUACGGAAAUCCGUUGGCUGUGGGUAAUCUAGUACAAACUCUGCAGAGUCAAAAAUCCUUUGAAUCAUCUUAUCCAUGUCCAAGUACUGUGUUCAACUUAUCUUGUCAAGUGUCAAUCUCAGUGACAAAAACUCCGGUGAACCACAUGAGUGUUAAGUCCGGUAAAAUGUUUAUUCCUGUGGAUGGACUAACCCGUUUAUUAUUAUGUGUUCAAUAUUUCUUAUGAGUAUAUAUCUUUGUGAAUUUAUCAGAUAUGAAUAAUGAAAUAUAAGCCCUUUCUGCGAUGUCGCUCAGACGUCCGACUGUGGCACGCUUGUUAUUUACUUUCGAUAUAAGCCCUUUCUGCGAUGUCGCUCAGACGUCCGACUGUGGCAUGCAUGUUAUUUACUUUCAAUAUAAGCCCUUUCUGCGAUGUCGCUCAGACGUCCGACUGUGGCACGCUUGUUAUUUACUUUCGAUAUAAGUCCUUUCUGCGAUGUCGCUCAGACGUCCGACAGUGACACGNNNNNNNNNNNNNNNNNNNNNNNNNNNNNNNNNNNNNNNNNNNNNNNNNNNNNNNNNNNNNNNNNNNNNNNNNNNNNNNNNNNNNNNNNNNNNNNNNNNNNNNNNNNNNNNNNNNNNNNNNNNNNNNNNNNNNNNNNNNNNNNNNNNNNNNNNNNNNNNNNNNNNNNNNNNNNNNNNNNNNNNNNNNNNNNNNNNNNNNNNNNNNNNNNNNNNNNNNNNNNNNNNNNNNNNNNNNNNNNNCUUUCUGCGAUGUCGCUCAGACGUCCGACUGUGGCAUGCUUGUUAUUUACUGUCGAUAUAAUCCCUUUCUGCGAUGUCGCUCAGACGUCCGACUAUGGCACGCUUGUUAUUUACUUUCGAUAUAAGCCCUUUCUGCGGUGUCGCUCCGACGUCCGACUGUGGCACGCAUGUCAUUUACUUUUAAAUAUCAGCCCUUUAUGUGGUGUCACUUAGAUGCCCAACUGCGGCAUGAUUAUUUAUUCGUUUACCCUUCGAGGCAUCGCUCCAGACACCCGAUCGGUUUUCAGUUAUUUUGUUGGGAUUUCGGGAAGACUACCGUCCGACUCCCUUUUUACUUGUCAUGUUGUGCCAAUAUUUAUUAUUUGAAUGUGCAUUGCUAUUUGUCCAUGACGCAUUCAUGCAUGCAUUUGUUAUAUCUCAUGUCCGAACUGUCAUGCGAGUACUUUCAAAGUACUCACCUGGCUUGUUGAUUUGGCCAGAAGUUGACGAAGGCGAUCUCAUGGAUGAAGAGUUCGAUAGCGAGUCCGACGCCUAGAGGAGUCCCAGUCAGUCUCGUGCGAUCCUGGAUUUGGUCACUGUAUUAUAUCCGCUUCCGCUACCCGAAUAAAUUCAUCGAGCCUCACCUUGACGCUCGAUGUCAGUCUCGUGCGAUCCUGGAUUUGGUCACUGUAUUAUAUCCGCUUCCGCUACCCGAAUAAAUUCAUCGAGCCUCACCUCGACGCUCGAUGAGCUGCCAGUUUAGGAGUCAUGUUAUCCACUCCACUAUGACAUUUCCACCACCACUUCUAUUUUGAGUGAGUAGUAUGCCACCCCACCCCUGUAUCAUAACCGCCCUUAUGUACAAUAUUGGCGUGUUUGUAAUAAAUUGUUGAGCAGCAUCAGCUCAACCAUGUAAUAUAUUUAAUGCUACUGGCCUACUGUAUCAAGUAUUUGUCUACUAGUAAGGAGAAUUCUUCCUGUACUAGAAUCAAAAGAUCGAUUUCUCAAUAAGUAUUUUAUUGAAAAACCGGUCGUGCCAAGGUGUGUACGACCAGCUGGCAUUUAAGCGUUGGUGCCAGACCAUCCAGGAAUUUUUCCAUCUUCUUGCUAUCAGUUAUAUGCUCUUCGUCGGCGUAACGAGACAAUAGUGUAACCUGACUGUUAUACUCAGUUACUGUCAUGGUUCUCUGUUUGAGGUCGUCAAACUCCCUCUUCUUGAUCUUCAUAAUACUUCUGGGAAUGUGCGCCCCACGGAAAUCUCCUUUGAAUUCCUCCCAGGUUAUAUCAUUUUCAUUGGGGUGCAUGUGUAGGAAAUUUUCCCACCAUGAUGCAACCGCUCUAGUGAGAUAGUGCGGUGCAUAUAGUACUUUCUCACGGUCUGAACAUUGUGCAAUGAUUAAUUUCCUUUCUAUGUCUCGAAGCCAAUCAUCGGCCUCAAGAGGUUUGCCAGUAUGAGAAAACGUUGGGGGGCGCAUCUUUUGUAGCUCAGACAAUUUGGAUUGCUGCUGAUACGGUCCGUGCUGAUUUCCCAUAUUGAUGACCUCGUUCAUCAUUUCUUGAUGUUGCUGGCUUUGUUCAUAAAGGCGGCAUACUUGAGAAAAUGCAGCAUCAUUGCCUUGCUGACUUGACUGCCCCUGUGUGAAAUUGUUGCUUGUUUGCAUACCAUAAAUUUCUUCUGGCGGACUUGGCAUGGAACGAGUCCAAGGACGAGGCAUUUUCCACUCUGGGGUAUUUUUUGAAAAAAUUAUGACAAAAGCUGAGUGGAAAAAAUAUAAUUUUGUAAGACGAAAGAUUAAGAACUCCAACAUUUUCAAGAAAAUACUUGAUUGCGCACGGAGAAGGACCGCUCAGUACACAUCUUACACGCAAGCAUAAUUAUACAAUACAUCACUCAGGAUGUGCGUACACAUUCCUGACAUGUUAUUUAGGCUAGUGCACUUCUCCCAGUUCCUACAUGAUGUGCACACAAACUACUUCUCACAACCUAUAUACAUAUAAACAUAUCAUACAAGCUGACACACUGCAUGGCUGUUGGGCGCACUCAGUCGAAGAUGGUGAGCAUUUCCCUCGGCCUGCCAAGGGUAAGGCCUAGUGAUGCUGGAGACUCAACCUCCUCCUCAAUAAUAGGUUCUAGACAUGAAGCACUGAGCUGUGGAGCUGGUGCGGGUGCGGUAGGUGGUGCAGCUCUGACUGGGGUAGGAGCGAUGACUCGGUCAAAUUCUUCAGGAGUAGGCAGGCGGCGAGCAGUGGUGAGGGUGGCAGGUGUGUGGGAUGCCGAGGACGAGAUGUAAGUCAGUGUGGAGCUGUAUGGAGAAGCUCCCUCCUAUUGGCGGAACAGCUAUGCACGACGGCCAUACGAGCAGCCACAAGGUCGUCCACGAGGUUAUCAAAUGUUGCCUCGAGCGCCUUGAGAUAUUCAACCAGCAUUUCAAUAGCCUCAUCCCUUUCUCCUCUAGGGCAAGCGAAUGCAUAGUGACAUGUGUAUGGCACGUGGCAGGCGAGGUAGCGGUAGCGACGAGUCUUCAUUGAAGGAAGAACAUCCCGAAGACGAGCUAUCGCCUCACGGGCAGCCAUCUGCAUAGCAUGCCUCUCCAUAGGCAUGGCUCUUCCCACAAACCGGAAGUGGCGUAACUUAACACGCCCUCCCUUGAAUUGCACCGCGGCCUGGUGCAUGGACAAACUGUCGUUGAUCUUGUGCUGGUAGAGUGUGAACUCCGGACGAGUUGAUGGCCCGAUCGCGAUUUUGACGAUGGAGGUGAGAAGCUUGACGAACCCUCAGGCACGUUGGCGAACACCUGUGACUCACAGUCGUUGCCAGCCAUCUACAAAAGUAGGCAAAAAUUCUGAAUAGUCAGAUCGUAAAUUUACACUGACUGUCAGAAAAUGACUACAUUUGCAAAAUAUUAAAAUAGCACUUAUUACGCUAAUAACCGAUUAGCAAUCGCACCUAGUGGCUUCCUACAGUCAACCUGGCUCUGGUACCAAGUUUGUCACGACCGUUUCCAUCUACAAAAGUAGGCAAAAAUUCUGAAUAGUUAGAUCAUAAAUUUACACUGACUGUCAGAAAAUGACUACAUUUGCAAAAUAUUAAAAUAGCACUUAUUAUGCUAAUAACCGAUUAGCGAUCGCACCUAGUGGCUUCCUACAGUCAGCCUGGCUCUGGUACCAAGUUUGUCACGACCGUUUUUUCAAUAAAAAGCUUAUUGAGAAACCGACUUUUAUAUAGACCAGUAUAGGAAAAUCCUCCUUACUGGUAGACAAAUCCUUGAUACUGAAAUCCAGUAGUACUAAAUAUUAUACAGGGUUGAGCUGAGGUAGCUCAACAAUUUAUUACAAGCACGCCAAUAUUAUACAUAAGGGCGGAUAUGACACAAGGGUGUGCUGGCAUACUACUGACUCGUAAUAAAAGUGCUGGUGGAUAUGUCACAGUGAAGCGGAUGACAUGACUCCUAAUCCUGCAACUCAUCGAGCGUCGAGGUGAGGCUCGAUGAUUUUAUUUGGGUAGCGGAAGCGUAUGUGAUACAAGUGACCAAAUCUAGGAUCGCACGGGACUGACUGGGACUCCUCUAGGCGUCGGACUCGCUAUCGUACUCUUCAUCCAUGAGAUCGCCUUCGUCAACAUCUGGCCAAAUCAACAAGCCAGGUGAGUACUUUCAAUGUACUCGCAAGACAGUUCGGACAUAAGAUAUAACAAAUGUAACAUGAUGCACAUGAGCGGUUAGCAAUGCACACUCAGAUAUAAAAUUUGCACGACAUGUUAUAUAAAUAGGAAGCCAGGCGGUAGUCCUCCCGAAAUCCCAACAAAAUAACUGAGAACCGAUCGGGUGUCUGAAGCGAUGCCUCGAAAGGUAAAAAUAAAUUAACAUGCCACAGUCGGGCGUCUGAGCGACACCACAUAAAGGGCUUAUAUUGAAAUGUAAAUGACAGUGCAUGCCACAGUCGGACGUCUACGCGACAUCUUGGAAAGGGCUUAUAAUGAAAAUAAAUAACAGUGAUGCCACAGUCGGACAUCUACGCGACAUCUCGGAAAGGGCUUAUAAUGAAAAUAAAUAACAGUGAUGCCACAGUCGGACGUUUACGCGACAUCUCGGAAAGGGCUUAUAAUGAAAAUAAAUAACAGUGAUGCCACAGUCGGAUGUCUGAGCGACAUCACAGAAAGGGCUUAUAUUUCAUCAUUCAUAUUCAAUAAAUUCAUGAAGAUAAUUCACUCAAAGGAAAUACUCAGUACAUAAUAAUAAAAGGGUUAGUCCAUCCACAGGAGAAUUAUUUAGCCGGACUUAACACUCAUGUUUGUUCACCGGAGAUUUGUCACUUGAGGCUGACACUGAGACUAACAAAGAUAAGUUGAACAUAGUCCUUGACCAUAGACAAGGUUACUCAGUUUGCACUAUUUAACCACAGCCAACGGAUUUCAGUAGUCACGAAGGACUAGUUCUGUUUACGGUAUUUCGGUAGAAACACAUCUAACCAUUACACACCCAUUCCACCUCAUGAUGCCAGGAAUCACCCUAGGCAACGUUCAAGAAAAACUUUGAGACGGGGAGGCCACAACCUCGAAUAGCAUGGGAUCAAAUUUAUAUUCGCGCGCUCUAAGGGGUGCCCCCUUCUCGGUCCCAACCGGAAACACCCAUGCCCCCUAACCGGAUGACUGGCUUUUAAUCCAGGGCCAUGGAACCCUCAUCACGGCCUCUCUAUUUGGUGUGUAUGAGGCAAGAGGUUUGCAACUUACUAAACCAUAUUCUUUGCAGAAAACAUGUGGUAGCACAAAAAGAAAUGGAUGGUAACGUGACUUGAUCCACGUUGACACUGGAGUUAAAUGGUUUGGCAUAAGACUGGCAUGCUUCAACACUGCCAUCUUACCACCUCUCAUGUCACCACCUGAUCACGUAAACUCACAUCAAAUAACAUAUGGAGUUUUGAAGCUAACUUGCAUUAGCUUUGCAUGCAAUAUAACACUUACUGCAAUGCAUAUAAACAUGCCAUAAACUAACUACUCAUUGCAAACAUGCAAAACGCUCAUCAUAUCAAAGGUUCAAACAUGCUUGCCUGGUUCGAAGUAGUCGGAGUCUAGCUCGGUGAAGUUCGCGGUUCCGUCACCUCCUCCGGUAUCUACGGUAUAAAGAAAAUACGCACUAACGUAAAUACCGUGUGUGCACAAAAAGUGUUCCAGAUAUUUUUCAAAUAAAUCAAAUAAGAAAACUAGACAGAAAAAUAAAGAUGACAGAAAAAGAAUCAAUCAAAAAUCAUUUUCGGUUUAGGAGUUAUUAAAGUUUUGGCCCAGGGACUUGUCUGUAAUGAAACAGAAAGUUUCCAGGGGCUAGCUUAUAAAAACAGAAAACGAUUCGAUUAAAACCCGCCAACUCCAAAGGAAAAACGUAUCCUGCCCGAAGGCGUUUCCAGAAAAUGGUUCGAAUAUAAAAGAGAGGCUGACGAGGGGGUCCCACACAUCAGGUUUAAAAGUUCGAGAGAGAAAACAGAGUGCGUUAGUGCCCGAAGCUUGCGAUGGUCGCCGGUGACGAUCCACGGUGAGUUAGGAGGAGCGGAGGGUACCUACGGACUCAGGGUGCUCUUCCACGUCUGUGGGUGGUGGAGUUGGUCGUUGGCGAGCCCCACGUUGACGGCGGCCUUCACUCCGGCGGACGGCGGCUCUGGCGUCGGUGGAUCUCUCCGGGAAGGGCUGCAAGUUUCAAAUUGGGGCGUGGGUUAGUGGAGUGGGUGCACUAGGAUGCCACUGGUACAACAUGAGAGGCGGGGGUGCACGCACUCGAGCUAACCUUGCCGGAGCCCAAAGCGGAUCGGGGCGGCCGGAGUCGGAGGAGAAGGCCCUUUACGUUGGCCUGUAGCUGAACUAGUAUGUUGUAGGUAGACAUUCAUUGGGCUGGUCCAUUUACGUUAGCAUGCUUCGUGUGUGUCCAUUCUGUAUGCUUCUUUUUUAAUCCCAUGUAGGUUUAUUUACUCUUUUAGGUUCCUACUUUAGUGACCAUGGAUCUUUAGGUUUUUUCAAUUUAAUGGAAUUGGGUCCUACAUGAUUUUUUUGCCUAUUUUAAUGUAUGUAUUUGCCUAACAUAGUUUACAAAAUCUUUAGUUAGAGGUAACCCAUCUUUGGUUACAUAUCUCACAAUCAGAUAAGAACAUUGUGCCAGAUCAGCUAACUUUCAGAUGUUGCCUGUAACCAAAGAUUGGUUACCUGUGGAUGGAUAGAUUCAUUUGAUUGGGUGACCUGAAUUUAUGAUGCCCUUUUUAUACUACAGAAGAUGCACCAGGCAUCUGUUUUUUGUCAUGAAAAAUGCAUAGGACCAUUUCCCUUGUAUUGUUACCCACUUUGGAAGAGUAACCUGUUGUUGUGUGUCGAGUGAUGGCGAUGAAUCAGCUAACUUAUGUAAAGUACAUACAAAGAUGUACUAUAUAUGUGCAAAGUAUCGAUUCAGUACACCGAAUCCAAAUGCCAAGCAAGCACAAAGAUGUCAAAAGCAGUUAAAAUAAUCAUAAACAAUCUGGAAACAUAUAGCUUUGAAUAGACAUUUAUUAUUUUUCUGAAGAGUUCAGUCCAUGCAUGUUUUUUGCCAUCUAAUUUUAUGUUCUGGGCUUAAAUCAGAUAGAGGCUUUAAGAAUAUCCGGUUUAAAUAAUGACAGUCUUAAUUUGGAUAAAUAAAAUAACAAGAGCUUCAGACUAAUGUGGAAAAUUUGGUCAAAAUAUAAAAUUUUGGUUCCUCUCAGUUUAGUUGGUGGCCUAUAUGAAUUCCAUUUGGCCCACAAUAUUUUUGUACAAUUAUUGAUUUGCUAGGGUAAAUUCUAAACUUAAUUUUGUUAGCUUCUAUCAGGUGUUCUUUCUUAUAAUAUUUUUUAUAUGUCGCAAGCUUACUCUCUUGAAGAGAGUUACUCCAUGUUUAUGAAGAAAAGAUUUGGGUUCAGAGCACCUUCGGUCAUAAGAAUUUGUUUUCUAAUUCUUGUUGGUCAGUCACAAAGCAUUAAUUUUUGUUUGCUUUACAAUUUUUUCAGGAGCAAUGGGAAAUGAUGAGCUCCUGCUUCUUUUUAUGUCGGUUUAGGAGUGUAGGAAGCGGUUCCUCGCCGGUUGGACGUCGUUCAACCGCAACUCUGGCACCCACUGAGUACUUCCUCGGCUACAACCUCCUUCGGUGAGCUGCAUCUUCCUCCUGCUCCUCUGCUUCAGCUACUGUAUGGGACAUAGCCAGGGCUAUGAUGAUCGGUUAUGGCUGAUAUAAGCAUGCUCUCGAGCAAUCGAGGCAUGUGUGGGUAUUAAGUUGGAUCCCCCUUCGUUUCUUUGAGCCGUUUUGAUCAUGUUCUUAUUUUAGUGGCUUUGUCCUUGGAUGGUCAUUUCUGAUGAGUGAUAACCAGGGCAGUUUCACCCUUUUAAGAACAUAUCCGUCGUGAAAUAAGUCACAAAGCAUUAAUUUUUGUUUGCUUUACAAUUUUUCCAGAAGUAAUGGGAAAUGAUGAGCUCCUGCUUCUUUUUAUGUCGGUUUAGGAGUGUAGGAAGCGGUUCCUCGCCGGUUGGACAUCGUUCAACCGCAACUGUGGCACCCACUGAGUACUUCCUCGGCUACAACCUCCUUCGGUGAGGUGCAUCUUCCUCCUGCUCCUCUGCAUCGGCUACUGUAUGGGACAUAGCCAGGGCUAUGAUGAUCGGUUAUGGCUGAUAUAAGCAUGCUCUCGAGCAAUCAAGGCACGUGUGGGUAUUAAGUUGGAUCCCCCUUCGUUUCUUUGAGCCAUUUUGAUCAUGUUCUUAUUUUAGUGGUUCUGUCCUUGGAUGGUCAUUUUUGAUGAGUGAUAACCAGGGUAGUUUCACCCUUUUAAGAACAUAUCCAUCAAGAAAUAAGGGAGACGGUCACUCCCAGGCGCUCUCAGCGAUUCGGCAUUCCUGGCCGUUGGAUCUUUUGCUUGAUGUGAUUUUGACCGUCAGAUCUCGCCUCAGGAUGACACAGCCGUCGGAUCGACCCGGUGUACCUGUAGCAAUGAAUAGUUACUUCCUCCACAUGCUGUCGCUUACUUCGCCUGUUCGACCUGGACUCACUGACCUGUGGGGCCGCUCGCAGGUCGGCCGCGCUCAUCAACGACCAUGUGAGUGGGCAUGGCAUGUGCGUCCUGUCACGUGCCCCACCGGUCGGAGGCCAUUCUUGCUAGGGCAAUGAUGAUUAACCAUGGCUGAAAUAAAUGUGCCUUUGAGCAAUCGAGACACCUAUGGGUAUCAAGUUGGAUCCUCCCUCUUGUCUCUAGAAUCCUUUUUGAUCUUGUGAUACUUAUUGUUCUGUCCUUGGAUGGUCAUUCUUGUUGAGUGAUAAACAGGGCAGCUCCACACUAUAAACAGAUUGAUCUGGUGAUAAGAGAUGACGGGGGUGGGUCACAUGAUAGAGAAAAGGUGAAUCUAAGCCCAUCAUGUAUUGAACCCCGAAUCCUUUUUAUUUGUAGCUAAAGGUGUUGCUUAUUUGUGCCCCCAUCGGUCGGAAGCCAUUCUUGCUAGGGCGAUGAUGAUUAGUUGUGGCUGAAAUAAGUGUGCCUUUGAGCAAUCGAGGCACCUGUGGGUAUCAAGUUGGAUCCUCCCUCUUGUCUCUAGAAUCAUUUUUGAUCCUGUGAUACUUAUUGUUAUGUCCUUGGAUGGUCGUUCUUGUUGAAUGAUAACCAGGGCAGCUCCACUGGAUAAACAGAUUGAUCUGGUGAAAGAGAUGAUGGGGGUAGAUUAUAUGAUCGAGGAAAGGCAAAUCUGAGCCCACUAUGCAUUGAACCCUGAACCCUUUUUAUUUGUAUUUAAAGGUGUUUCUUAUUUAUGCUCCAGUGUUUAUAGCCGUCUUAUGUAAAGAAAUCUCCCUUGUAUUUCCUCUUAUGGACGGCCCCCUCGCUAGCUCCUUGAUGUUUGUCCUACCCCAGUAAGAUCUGUGACAUGUUCAUGGCGUUGAUGUGGAGAAGCUCAACGUCAAUGGAAUAUCCCUCUCCAUUUUGACAUCAGACAAGGUGGUAUUAAUCUUUUAUGUGUAAGUAUCUACUGCACAUACUGUCUUUCCUAGGUGUUCUUCUUUUCCAUCUGUACUACCUCACCUACUGUCAAAUGUUUGUGCUAGGUUGCUGACUUUUCUGGUGUGGAGUUUGCUUAUUUUGGGUUCUUCGUUGUGUUGGUAGGAUUUUUGCCGUGAGUUGUUCCUUUGGCACUAUCUGUAGGAAGCAGAGCCAAGCGAGGUUCUUAUAUCUGAGCAUAUUAAUCUCAUGCAUUAGUUUGUAAGCUAUGGGGUUGCAGGCUUAAACUCAAAAUUGUCUUGCAAUGUAUUAGACUGUACCCUGGAACCUAGGCACAACCAUCUAUAUACAUUGUUCUAUCUUGCAGAUUGGGAUCCCUGUCAGUUGCUUCCCCUUUUUUGUUUCCAAUUAUGUCAUCUUUGCAAAUUUAUGUUGUGCAUGUACACACGUUUUUUGGAUAACUGCAUGAGAGAAAGCUUACAAGUAGAUGAGUUACAGAUCUUCCAUGAAUCCUAUUGUCCUUGCAGACCUACAACAACAAACUUUCGAUUACGUAUAUGCUUACUGUUUGUUCAGUUGGCAUACUUCAGAUUGCAUUGGUUAGGUUAUAGUCCAUGUGUGUAGGUCUGGAUAGCAUAAGCUUCUGUUGAGAGCACUUUGAUCAGGUGGCACUGCACAUCUCAAAUCACCACAAGUUUGUUCUUCACCUAUACAGUACAGUCACAGUCACCCGCCAAGAACUUGAAAUUGGAACCAGAGAGUAGUAAUUUCUUAGGGAGAUAGCUCAAUGUUGUAUAAAAGGAGAUUUAUGAGAUUUAAGUCCUGAAAAAUUUAAUGGUAUUUUGUCUUUCAGGUUCCUCUAUAUCUGCUGCAAGGCUUGGAUUGCCAUAUAAGGCCGAAUUCAGCACAUAAGAAAGCAGAACAAUUCAUUGAUAGUGUCACGGUUUGAUCCAGCUCGAUGGCGAGCUCCUCUGCCCUCCCUGAGCCCGGUGAUGAUUUGUACGGUUAGUCUUCCCUGCACGGUGGUGGGCGAAGGAGGUGUACGUCUCUGCAAGUUUGUUGUGCCUCCCUCAGGUUCCGUGAUGGCCGACGGCGAGGUGCCCACCGGUGAGCUUUUUUUCCUUGGUUGCCUUUCUAUUAUUGUGAUUCGGUUUGUGAUGCUCUGCUGCUCAUCUAGGUUGAUGGUGGAGCUGUGAUCCAAAGUUGGAGCGUGCCCUUUCGUUGGUGCCGUCAUUCUCUCCUCCACGACCAUCGUUGUCACGAGCCUAAGUAGCUUGGUUGGGUAUCGACGGCGUUGGUGGACCUAAUAGGUCCGUAUCUUUCUCUAAAAAGAAAAGCACAACGAGUUAUCUAUAUUUUGUCUGUAUGUGGUUCUAUACCUUUUUUUGCUAAUUUCUAAGUGAUUUUUAACCCAUUGUGAUACUGAAAACCUGAUAAAGAAUAUAUUUUAUGACUGGAUGUUUGAUGUGGGGCUGGAAGAAUUAUAGUUUUGUUUUGUACAUAAAUCUUCUAUGUAGUCAUGGUACUAAAUGUCCUAACAUAUACCCGUAUGUUCUGUUUAUCUCCUACAAAUAGUGAAAUGGUCUAUAUGUAAAGUAUUUAUGUUUAGUUAUAUUAUGUUGUCGACGAUGCGUGGUUCUGGAACAUGGAGAUUAACAUUGAAGCUUUUGGUAUCUUGAAUUCUUAUGCUUUGUUAUUAACUUGAUGUGAUCUAGUUUUUUCUAUUUGGCAUUGCCACUGACCUGCUUCCAGUGUCGUAUAACUAAACUCUUUUGGCUGAACUGGACGCAGAUUAAUUGUCCUGCCUUGCUUUUGGAACAAAUUAAAUGUAUCUUCUUUUUCAUGAGCCUGCAGAUCAAUUAUUCCAUAGAUACUAAUACACUCAUUAGUUUCAAACAAGUACUGUAAUUUCCAAUGUACCAAAUGAUUUACAGUAUAGUGAAAUCUUACACGCUGGACCAAUUUAAUGUUUCUUCUUUCUCUUAAACCAAAAAAAAUUGUUGUCUUGUUGAAUACGUAUGCUAAACCAUGUUUCCUACUAACGCAUCAUAUCUUUUGAUCAUUACCUUCUUGACCACAUCGUUGGGACAUGCACAGGUUCAUGUGAAGUGGUGCCUAUGAAGAUCAUCGACAAGGCAGUUGAGUGGAGUCACUUAUUAGUAUGAAGUGGCGCUUAUGAAGUUGAUCGACAAGGCAGUUGAGUGAAGCCACUUAUUAGUAUGCUUAGUAGUUCUGGCUUUGUAGUUGUCUCUCCUUUGUUACGCUUGUGGUAUCAAACUUCCAUGUCGAGUGGCUGCGUUUUUGGUGUCGAACUUCGUGUCAGGUGGCUAUCUUUUGUGUUCUUAUGAACGCACUGAAACCAAUUCUACCUUAUAAUCUCAAGCCGACACUGAGCCCAUGCCUUUCUUCUAUAAUAGUUGAAUGUUUCUUCUUCACUUUAUUGUUAUUAUGUAUGAA
Molecule: long non-coding RNA, 88180 nt
Filed under: Triticum aestivum (bread wheat)
Lineage: Eukaryota; Viridiplantae; Streptophyta; Magnoliopsida; Poales; Poaceae
Description: long non-coding RNA (TAES_LNC003659)
Source: RNAcentral